AGGGAGGUGAUAUCAGCGGAGGUUUUGGUGGUGGCUGGGAAGGCGGAGGUGGACUUGAGGCCGGUGAAUGGUGCCACCAUGCUGGCUUGAGCAGGGCUAGCUCUGUUAAUGCUAGCCACAGUUGCAGUUGAAAGCAUAGAGGUAGCCAUUUCAAAUUCCCCUUUCUUGCUUACAAGUAGACUUUUGUUGUUCAACCUCUUGCUUGAGUGGUCGAGCAACUCUUCACCUUCUUCCUUUUAUAACGCCUUUUGGCUUCUCUUUGCCUUGUCGUUUUGAGAGUGCCAUUUCUGAUCCAACGGUUCAGGCUUCAUUUUCAGGAGUUUAGCUGUUGGAUCUUAUGAUGGCCACAUACAGGAGACGUUAGCCUUAUCGUUAGGCACUACUCACGGUGUGCCACGUGUACUUAUGUCCAUAAUCUUAUCUCAUCUCAUUUGAGUCCGCAACGCGUUUUAUGGCCCUUCAUUUUUUUGGGGAUAGGACUCUCCUUCCUUUAACUUUGCAGUUAUUUAUCCUUUUUUCCCUUUAUUUAUUUUGCAAAAUUUUGGAACUUUUUGAGGAAUGGAGAUUUUGUUAAGAUUUCAUUACAUGAUUUUUUUUUAAAAAAAAUCUUUAAAUUUAUAAAAUUAUAACAAUUAAAUAAAUUAAUAGUAUUUUUUUUUUUAUUUUAGGGGCAAGGGUAUUGGAGAUUAUAUAUAUAUAUAUAUAUGAAGAUUGACAAUGAACUUUCCAGGCCUUUCCCUUUUUUUUUUUUCAAAUAAAUAUAAAAUAAAAACAGUUAAAGAAGAAUAUUGGGUUUUAUAUAUAAAUUUCAAAUUUUCAAAUUUUCUGUUAUUUUCCUGCUUAUUACAUUUUUGGAUUCCUCUCACUGAUAUGUCAAGAAUAGCAUGAUAAGGAAGUAAAGGCUUAUAUCACAUUUAACUCUGAGUUCCAAAAUGCUCUGCAUGUCAAUUAUCUGGUGGACCAUCAUAUCCUCAUUUAAUUGUUAUGUCACACACUAAACCUAACUUAUUUUGUGGCCACUAUCAAUUUUAUGCUACAAAAGGCUCUUAAUAUAUCAAUAUUUUGCCUAUUUUUCAAAAUGGGAAAAAAAAUAAUAAUGCGUUAAAAGUCUAAGAGAUUUGUUCCCUUGCAAAAUGGGAAUAAUCAUAGUUGUUCGAUACACAGCAAGCUGCAAGUCUUUCCGAAAUGAUGGAACUGAAUCAUCAGUGGAAACAUGUAGGGUUUAUCUGCAAAAAUCACCAUAUCUGAAUAGAACUCAAUUUUUAUACCAUAACUAGAUGCAAACUCAAAAAUAUCCGACCUGUGAUGCCACAUGUAGGGUUUAUCUGCAAAAAUCAUCAUAUGUUGAAUCCAACCUCAAUUUUUCAUACGAUAACUCUGAUGCAAACUUGAAAAUAUCCGAUCUAUUACCAUUCUUGAAUGUGAUGCACUAGCAAAGAGUCUCUUCUCUUCAUGGCUCUUAUUCCAAAUGCAGUUUAUUCUUGUUCUUGUUGACUUACAUAUCAAAAUUUAUCAAGCUUGUCCAAAUGAUAAGUCUGCUUACAGGUCUAGAAUACUUGCCCAUGAUUCUGUUAAUCAUAUGAUAGAUUUUCUCUAAGAUUAAGCAGCAAAUUCUCUAACUUGGAGGAGGAGGAAAGAAAAGCAGACUUGAAAUAUUUGGAGCUUGAAGUUUCAUUAAAAGAGAUUUGUGCAUAAAGGAUCUGAAACAAAAUUCUUAAACCAGAUUAUCUCCCAACUCAUUAGAGAUCCAAGAAACCUGAAAAUUGGAUUUAUACUUCACUUUUGAAGACUUCUCCAUCCCCCUCUUAUAAUUUGCUCUCAUCUAUCAGUAGACAAAGCACAAAUCUAGUAGAGCAUUAGCCUUUAGUUUUUCUCCCUCUAAAUACAAUAUGCAAACAAAUAGGACAGAUAUGCAAGCCUGUGACACCUGAAAUGCAAUUCAAUCAUUUCAAUUACUGGUAAGAUUUAAUACAUGCACUUUGAUUUGGCUUGAAAUUAAACCCACCUUUCAAGAAUCAAUGGAGGCAAUGGGCAAAUGUAUCCCAACUCUUAAAUAAUCAGCACAUUACAAUUAGUUUAAUCUCCACCAAGAAUCACUUAAAGAAUAAAGUAAAACCUACACUUAGCAAACAAUAUGCCCAAAUUGAAAAAUUCAAGGCUUAUGAUUUUGGGAUUGAUGCAAAUUGAUAUAUAGAGAAGACAAUCCAACAGUAUCAGGACUCUUGAGCUGAUCAAGCUGUUUCUUACCCCGACGAAGCAAAUACUCGAUGUAGAGGAAAUUCUUGCGAUCUACAUGCUGGGAGUUGUGGCGAAACUCUGCCGAUACCAUGGAUUCAAUCUGUCGGCGAUCUUCAGGGGAUUUCAAACGAGCAGCUCGCAGAAAUGCUCGGUAGAGACUAAGCACUUGCUUCUGCAUUCCUGAGAGUCUUGGGCCAUUCGAGGCUCCCAUGGCAUCUUCGCAAAUCGAUACAUAUCAGGAAACUUCUCCUCCAUAAACAAGUCAGAGAAGAGAAGAUUGAAGAGAAUAAAUCUUACCUCGAUUGAUAGAUCAAUCGCGAAGGAGUAUACGCCGGCGAAACUGAUUUCUUUUAUAUAUUCUUCUAUAACGUUGAAAAUCUCUUUUUCUUUUGGAAUGAUUGAACAGAAAAUCCAAGUUCUGUUGCAGAAACUGGAGGUGGAAGACGAAGAAAUGGGCUUGAUCUUUUGAAAGUGGAGCUUGAAUAUUACAAACCCUAAUUGGACCUAAAUGUUGUGAUCCAUAAUAAAUAAAUAAUUUUAAUUUAUAUAUUUAAAACAUACAAAAAUAAAUUAGUAUAUCAAUUUAUUGUUAAUUUAUAUAUAAAUUUUAUUUUAAUUUAAAAUUAAAAUUAAAGAAGUGUAUAUAAAUUAUAAGACUAAUUUAUAUAGUAUAAUGUAGUCUUAUAAACAUUUUAAUUUUAAUAAUUUCAUUUAAAAUUAAAAAGUUUAUAUAAAUUUUAUUUAAUUUUAAAAGGAAAAAAUGUAAUUUUAUAUGCGCAAAAAGAGAUAUGACUUUUUAUUAUUAAUUGUGGAAUUUAUUUUACAUAUAAAUAAAUCCUACUAAUAUAAAAAUAUUAACUAAAAUUAUUUUAAUUAAUUAAAAAAUAUUUUAAAUUUAUUUCUUCAUUUUUCAUUUUUUUACAUUUUUUUACUUCCACUUAUAAAUUUUUAAAUAUAAAAAUUAUCAUUGCAGUGUAAAGAUUUUCAGUUACUUUUUUUUUAUUAAUUAUAUCAUUAGUCAUGAUGAUAACAAGGAAAAUAUGAAUUAUAUAUUAGAUUAAAUAAUAAGCUUAGAUUUGGAGAUUCAUGAAUAGAUCAAUCUUUCAAACUGCUACUGAAUUUAUGGACAAACAAGAGACAAUCCGACGAAUUGAAAUAUUUUAAUAAUUAGAGUUAAAGAAAGUAAAAGCGAUCCCUAUAAUAGCGGCAAACAAAAUGAAAGCAGAAGCAAUACAGGCAUCGUGCUGCUAAGCGGUGGAGUGUUGCACUUUAAAUUGCGAAAGUCCAUUGGCUGAAAGUAUUACUAGCUUACACUCUGAUUCAAAUAGAAUGGAUAUAUGGAAUCCCGUAUGAACAGUAAGGAUCAUCUUGCAAAGUUAAAUACUCUUGGUAAUUGAUAGCGAAGUAAUACUGUGAGAAAAGGGUGAAAAGAAUUUAUUCAGGAGUGAAAUAGAAUAUGAAAUUGACUUAAAUUUGGUUGAUACAGUUUUUGUAUAUAAAUUUUAUAUUUCAAAAAGAAAAAAGCCAUAUUAUUGUUUCCAUAGAUAAAGUGCUAUUGGUGAAAAUUAAGGAAUUAUAUAUAUGUAUAUAGUUAAUUUACAACCUGAAUUUGAGAUGAAAUAUACAAGCCCUAAUUGUUGCUUAAUACAAAUCUGCCCACCACAUUGAGGAAUGGAAAUGGGGAGAAAAUAGACCUAAUUAAAUGCAAAUCUAUGAUUAUAAAACUACAUUAUACUAUAAAAAUACAUAACAAAUUCAUAACCCUGAAAAUAUUAUUAAGAAAAAAAUUAUGAAAUAAAAAUUUCAAUAUGUGUUUUCUCUAUAUUUUACGUCCAUCGUCUCGGAGGCUUGAUUGAGGAGCUGGUAGUGGUAGUUUUCCUCACAUCUGAAAAGAAUAGUAAUGGAAUUGUUAAGUCCGAUAGUAAAUUUUUCAUAAUUUUUAUUAUUUUUUUAGUUAUUCUAAAAUUAUUAUUUAUUUUUUUAAAUUAUAAUAAUAUAUAAAUCGACUAUUAUAAUUUCAUUUAAUUUUAUUUUACUUAUAAGAAAUUUUCCAAAAAUAUAUUUUAAUAUUUAAUAAAAUUUAAUAUAUUUAAAAUAAUAUAAUUAAAAAAUUAAUAAAAAAAUUAUAUUUCUUAAUAUAUGUAAAAAUAUAAAGUGAAUAAAAAUUAUAAAAAGUUUUUUUUAUUAAUUAUUUAAUAAAUAAAUAAAAAUAACAUUUUAUUAUCGAAAUAAACACCUUAAAGUUAUACUACUUUUUUAUUAUUCGUCGUAGCAAAAUUAUUAAAUAUAUCUUUUAUCAAAUUGAAAAAGUAUUCGAUUUUUAAAUACAAAUGAAUAGAUCUUCAAUAUUAUGACGGAAUGAAAAUAUAAGAAUUAAAUGGUUGAGUUUUAAAAAUAAAAGAAAUGGGUUAAUAUUAACAUAAUUUAAUGAUGAAAAAAUAAUUUAUCCUUGAUUUUACUUACUUGUUGGUGCUUUUGAUGUGUCUCUUCCCAUUGAUACUGUAAGUUGCCCUAACUUUUGUAGGCUCCGAGGCCUAGGUAGCAUUCUCUUCCUGCAACAAAAUAGAUUUGGAUGGAUGAGUAUAUUGAAUCCUUCAUUCUCUUGCUACAUACUCUCUCUCUCAGGUUUUGUCCGUACCAUUCGUUAAAUUUCAAAGAGAGUGAGGGAUAAUUUUUUGUAUAUAUGAACAUAGGAUAACUUGCCUGUCCACUGUUUUUGUGGCUUUUUCUACUGGGAUUUCAGGUUCUGCUCCGACAGAAUGAUAACUCUCAGAACAAUCACUUAGUCUAUCAUCAUGGUCCCCUUCUGCAGAUCUUAAAGAUUCAGCAUCCUGGCUCACGUCUCCAGCAAAAUAUCUUGAAUGCUUGAGAAAUUUUCUUUGUUGUUUAAAAUCGUCUAGUGACUGCUGAGAAUCAACUUCAGAAUGAUAAUCACUGUUUUCUAAAUAAUCAUAGAUCGCCUUUGAGGAUUGCUUUUGGAGUGCAUCAUGUGAGGAAUAUCCGUGCUUCAGUGGACCUGUUCCUUGCUUUUCGCCAUGGGCACUAGGAUAAGAGCUUUUUAGAUCUUUAAGCAAUUGUAAUUGCUCAAUCUCCCCAUCUUUUUUUGAUAUUGUGUCUUUAAGAGAUGCCACCUGCAGAUGAAAGUUCAUAAGCAAUGUUGCAUAUAUACAAAAACAACCAAGUUUUAGUCGAAAACUAAAUGAGGUCAGCUAUACAGAUCUUUUUUCAACAUUAGCUCUGGUAGAUACUGAGUUCGCACUGUGCUCUGAAGGUAAAAUUCAUUUCUAAGGUUGAAUCAUAUAUAAAAAAAAAUGUUAAAAUGAGAUUAAUGGAAAAAUAUAAUGAAGAAAAAGAAACCUGAUCCAUUAAUUCUCUAACGUUGCCGUCUUUACUGCUUCGUGCUGCUCCUAGCUCAACUCCUGAGACUCUUUCUGCGAACUUUAAGGUACUCAUAGUUUCAGCAUAUGAACUUACAUCGGGGUUGAGCUGCACAAACAUAAGUGUCUUUGCUUGACCUCCUGCAACAAGAAGAAACCCGGAAAAAAAAAAUCCAUCAAGUCUAGUCGAAGUAUGCUGCUGCAUGCGCUGCUGUGUCAUAUAGAAUUAGAACUUCAAAGAUAGUUUUUGACAGAUUGAAGAUAUUGAAAACAAUACCUAAAGAGGUUUGAAGGAGCUGAGUUAGCUUGCUAUUCCUAUAGGGUACAUGAGAACUCUUUUGUGCUAGAGCGAAAAUGACAUCUCCAAGGGCAGAUAGAGAUUUGUUUAUGUGUUGUGCUUCUCUAAGCCUAUCUCCUGUUACUUCCGAGCGAUCUACCCUUUCACUUCCAGCUAAAUCCACCAAAUGAAGAUUACCCUGUGAAGUAUCGCCAGUAUGCAAGUCCUUCCCACGAACAUUAAUACUGACAACGCUGUAUGCAUAGAUCUAAAUGAUCUUCUCAACAUGUUUUAAAGAAUUUCAUAAUACGAAAGAAUAGAUAUGGUACUAGGAUGUGUAAGAACCUGUGUGAGCGGCUGCUUCUUUCGUUCAAGGCAGUGGCACUAACAGCUCUGUUGUUGAAUCCAAUUUGCAUUAGUUCUAUAACAUCUGAAGGUGAUCUUACAGGGUGCAAGCUAGCAUCAGGAACAGCUAACCCAUGUUGUUGGGUACUAGACUUGAUCCCAAGUGUGUGCAAAUCAAGGGAAACAAAAACUUCAAGAAUAUUGCACUCUUCAUUAAAAUAGAACAAUUAUUUGAUUGCAUAGAUACAUCAAUCAUCAAUCAAUUUAGUGAAAAAGGUGGCUUGUGGGUAAGAUGUGAAAGUAAAAAAACUAAAGGCUGCAUAAUUUAGAGUUAAACGAAUCUGAAUCUGAUUAAAAAGGAUAUUUUUUCUGAGAACCAUCAGUUACUAGCAGAUCACGUAAUUGUUCGUUAUAUAUUUCAAACAUUUGUACUCCAACUUCAUACAUAAAAGAAGUGCUUCUGUUUUGAGAGAUAUUGAAAAGAUCGUUGAGUGCUCGAUAAUUAACCCCCCAUUCUUCUUUUGUUGCUCCAUUAGGACCAGUCUGGAGCAAACAGUCAAGUUGAAUUAGCAUCAAUUAAUAUAUUGUAGCAUUUUUCAUGAAACUUAAAAAGAUUUUAUCAAAUUCAUACCAUUGUGUAAGUUUUCCCUGAACCAGUCUGUCCAUAAGCAAAUAUGCACACAUUAUAUCCAUCAAGAACACAGCGAAUCAACGGUUGUGUAUCCGAAAAUACAUCCGCUGACAACAUUCAGAAUGAUUGGCACGUCAGAUAUUGCAAUAUUGCAAUUGUUGCUCACACAAACAGAUUCAAGUAAAUUUUCAUUUCUGAGAAUUAUAUUUACCAGUAAUUUAAAAAAUAUACCUUGAGUGGAAUUUGGACCAUAGACCUUAUUGAACCGAAACAAUCGGUUGCCAUCCUUCCCUGGUUUGGAAGGAUUUGCAACAACCAACUCUCCAUUUUGACCAACAUACUCUAUCGUUGUCUGUUUUUCAGCCUGACCAGGAUUCAAUGGCCUUAUCCGACAAUAAACUCUAAUAUUUCCUGUAUCAAAGAACUAAAAUUGAAAAAUUAUCUUGAAAUAUGCACCAAUUACAAUCCUGUUCAGAAAAGACCAAAGGGUGGCACCUUUUAAAUCUUGCAGCUCAUUGAACAGCUUCCGAUUUUCAGCAAGAACUAAAUGGUAGUUCUCACUUUCAACUGCUAAACUUUUAAACUUUAAUUCUGAAAUAAAUUAUAAAUUAAAUCUUUAAGGGAUGGCCAUCACUACUUGCAUAUAAGGAAAAAAAAGUGAUUAACCAACCAACCUAGGCAAUUAAAAUCCUCUGAAUGUCUCUUUUGCGCUUUCGAAAUUUCGCGCUUGAUGCACUGUGACGACGACCUUAAUUCCUAGAGGUUUUCAUGUGUUUAGUAAUAUGAAUACUCUGAAAUAUAAAUGUAGAAGAAAGCAGGCACGAGAGGAGAAUACCUGCAGUGCACCAAACUGAAACUCUGCCAAACUCUGGAAAAUCAGGUCUUUCUUAUUCCAGCUUUGUUUUUGCGACUUAGAAUAUGACUCAAGCACUUUCACCUUGUUCCUUGAUUCUUCCAAAAGUUGCACAAGCUCUUGUAACCUCUUCUCAAGAUCUGCUUUAGCGUCGUUAGCUUCUGUUUCCAUUUGCAAACAACGAAGUUCGCAAGUCUUUUUAGUUAUUUCCAGUUCUUGUUUCAAUGCUGAAAGUUCAUUAUUUAUUUGCUCCUUCUCUUUAGCCAAUUUAACCAUAUUUUCCUCCUCAACUUUUCUCUUUUCAUCCAUUUUAGACUUCUCCAGUUCAAGUGUCCUUUUCGCUAUUUCCAACUCAUUCUUCAACGUCGAAAGUUCAAUGUUUGUUUGCUCCUUCUCUUUCAUUAAUCUAACCACAUAUUCCCCUUGUGUACCUUUUUCAUCCAUUUUUGACUUCCUGGGUUCAGGUGUCGUUUUGGCCAUUUCCAGUUCUUGCUUUAGUUUUGAAAGUUCAUUAUCUGUUCGCUCCUUCUCUUUCAUCAAUUUCAUCACAUCUUUCCCCAUGUGUUUUCUUUUUUCAUCCAUUGUGGGCUUCUCAUGUCCCAGUGUCUUUUUGACCAUUUCUAAUUCCUGCUUCAAUGUAGAAAGUUCAAGAUUUGUCUGCUCCUUCUCUUGCCUCAAUUUUGCUACAUCUUCCUCCUCAGUUUUCCUUCUUUCAUCCAUUUCAGACAUCUCAAGGUCAAGCAUCCUCCUGGCUCUUUCCAAUGCUUGCUUCAAUGUGGAAAGUUCAAGAUUUGUUUCCUCCUUCUCUCUGAUCAAUUUUAUUAUAUCUUCCUCCUCACCUUUCUUCUUCUCGUCCAUUCUGGACUUCUCAAGCUAUAAAGACAAAAGAAGAUCACAAUUAUAAUGAUAAACCAUACCUAAAAAAGAGAGAGAGAAGAGAAGAGAAAAAAAAAACUUUUCAAGUAAAAUGUAUGCAUCUGAUCCACAAUAAAAUGAGGAAAGUGGAGACUAAGAUGUGUUAAGUGACAAUAUAAAAUUUAGUAUUAUAGUGACACAACUUUUAGAAGCAGCAUGUAAGAAAUAAAAAACCCCAUGCUGCAAAAAAAAUCAGAUACAAGCAAUUCAUCCUUUGACGUUGUAUGAACUAACUGAAUUUUCUCCGAGUCAUACCUUUAUUUGUUGAAGCUGGCCCUUGACAAUCUGUGACAAAUUGAAUUAUUUUACUAAUUAGAUAAAUAGAUGUAUCCAUAUAUAGUGGACAUGCAUCCAUUUCUUCUACCAACAAGGAAAAAAGAAAAUUGGCAUACCAAAGUCUCUUCACCAGUUCCAGAAGCAAGGGUUUCAAGAACUCUGAUUCGUGAUUGGUACUUUUCUUCACGAGCCUUGAACAAGUUGUUUUGCUGAAAGUGGAGUGAUAAAGAAAUCAUCAUAGAAAAACAAAAGUAAAAACCAUUAUAUGUGAAAUGAGAAAACGUUCAUUACAGUUCUUAAGUGUUCUGCUUGAGUUGAAAUACGCCGUUCAAUCUCCUGCACGACUUUUCUCAAAAGGCAUGCCACACGCUGCACCAAAAAGUAACAUUAGAACCUGCUCCUAAAAUUAUUCUUAUAGAGAACUAUAUAUGUGCAUGCAUACAUGCAUAAGACAGGUUGCACACAUAUGUAGAUACACAUAUAUUAUUAGUAUAGAUUGAAAUGUGUGUUUGCGUUACACCAAUGUGCCUUCACAUUGCAUACAUGAGGUAUUUCGCCAUUCUUUCUUUCAAUGCUUUCAUCCAGAAUUCCAUUCACAACGCUCAAAAGUGACUGAGUUGGUGCAUUCUGCACAGAGGUUUUUAAACAGAAUUAAAACAGGAUAUAGAAUUCUGAAUAGAAUGACAAUUACAUAAACAAAAAGUGGAAAAUAAUGAAUGUCCAUAUACAAAGACUGAGGUCAUACAUCCAAACUAUUUGAUCUCAUCAUCUCCGAAAUCUUUGCAGCAGGAAGAUCUGCAUAGCGCCCUUGUUUCAAUUGAAACACCUCAUGGAACUUAUGUCCAAUAUGAUGCAUCAAUGCAGUUGAUGCCUCUGUAGAAGGAGAGAGAUUAAGAAUUUAAGAAACCACAUGUAAAUCUCUAAAAAGAGGUUUCUCAAGUUGAUAAUCUUUGAGAAUAAUAUAUCCUCAUUUCACAAAGCAGACGAUCAGCUUGAAAUUAUUCUACAUACAAAGACAGGACGAUACCUGUCAUGCCAGGACUACUCAGAGCUCGUUGGAAUUUUAAAUAUUGCAAAGCCCUCAUCCUUCCUUCUCCAGACUGUGGAGACUCAAGCCCACGAGAAGAUACACUCUCACAAGGACUUCCACCUCUGGUAGUUGUACUAGUGACAGAAAAAUUGUCUCCCUCGUUGGCAACUUGUGCUUUAAGUGCUAAAAGGCAAUCCACAACAGGCUUCAUAGAUCCCUGCAAAUAUGAAUAAUAAAGCAUAGAGAGAUAGAAAUGAGUUAGAGUUGACAGAUUAUAAUUCAAAAAGUGCUGCACUGAAACUUAUAAAGAAAUGAUAAUUUCAAAUAUUUUUUUCUUUUCAAAACUUUUAAUGAAACAUGGUUGAAAACUUGCUUACACUGUGACUUAGCAGUAAAAUAUUCAUGUGGAUAAAAAAAGUAAUCGAGAAUCAAAAUCUUUAUUUUCUGAAUUGGGAAUCGAUAAUCGAAUCAAAUGGUAAGAAUUCAUUUUGAUUUAAGAUAAAAAUAUUACAUUGAGAAGAAUUAGUCAUUUAUAUUUGGGAUACCUUCUCUAGGUCUGAUACUUCAAAUUGGUUGAUCCCCAAUUCACCCAUAGCCGCUAGAAACUUUUUGAUGUUUUCUGAGCAUGAUGGUGUAGAAUGAUCAGAGGCAUCCUAAAAUAGAAAAAUAAACUGUGAAAUCGAUAGAACUCAAAGAAUAACUUUACAAAACACAGUCUCAACAAAUCUACAACCUCACUGACAGAACCAGGUCUAAGCUUCUUCAGUAUUUCAAGUAGAACAGUGCCAUCAAACAAGCAGAUUCUUAACUCCUCAGAUGAAGAUUUUAAUGGCAAGUUCAAAUUAGGGACAAUACUAUUCAUCCACUCUAUCAAUAUUAUUUGCUGCUUUGCUGGAGAUGGGCAAAAGUAGAAGCAAAUAAGAAUGCUAAUGGGAAACUUAGUUCAAGAAACAAGGGCACUGAAAGAUAUAAAGGAACUCAACUUUGCUUACCCUCAGUAUCAUCUUUAAUGAUUAUAGUCGAUUCGAAAACACCUGAAGUACCAGAAAAUUUGGGGCUGUUGGCUCUUCCAUAUUGUUUUAUGAGGUUAUCCGACGUCGAAUUCAUAGUGGAAACUAGGAAGGGGCAUUUAGCUUCAAAUCCAAUUAUCAAAACACUCUAAAUGUACAAUUGUCCGACUUUGUCGCUAGCAGUCCUGCAAAGUAAUUAAUAUGAACAUUACAAGCAAAAUCUAUUUGUUCAAAAUGAUCAAAGAAAAUUGCACUAAUUAAUCAAUUAUUGCCAUUAGUUUAUAUUCCAAAAUUAUUAACCUUCACAACUACUUUCUGGCAAAGCCAGCACCCUUUUUCCUCUCUUAUGUUAUUUAGUACUUUCAGGUGAGAGUUAUGGGUUCAAUAUCUAGCCCUUUCUUCUAAAGAACAUUAACAAGAUAAAAAAAAAAUCCUAAAGUUUGGAUCCAUUAAGGGCAGGCAUGUAAAUCUAUUUCAGGAUUUUAUGAACAUAAGUGUAUGUACAUAUACAUGCAAUGUGUGAAAUUUUGCAAUGAAAAUUUGCAUACCUGAUCUGCAGAAUGCAGAAAUAGUUGAAUAGACCUUGCAGGAACAUUUCCCUUUCAGCAUGAGAAGAAACUCAUAUCAAACCAAAGUUUUCUUAAUGAAUUUUGAAGCCCUGAAAAGGGAAAAAUGACAAUUUAAAAACAAAGAUAAGAAGAACCCAAAAAAGAAAAAAGUUAUUUAUGCAAUAUAAAUAUGAACUUCCUUUCCAUGAGCACAAAUUUACUAGUGAAGAAAAUAGUAAUCACAUCAAUAGAUAAAUUCAGCUCUAAAGAGAAGGAAUGCAAGUUUCAAAAUGACGAAUCAGGCAUUGGAGUUAGCUGAAACAUUCAAGCAGAUUAUCAGACAAUCAUAAUUCAAUUCCUUUUCCUAUUUUUUUUCAGAAAAAAAGAAAAAAAUCUGAAAUUCUCAUAAUGUUCAUCUCCAAAACAAGAAUUUGAUGUGAAAAACAGAAUACCCAGAAUAUGAUUACCAGAACUAAAACAAAAAAUGCACAGACAAGGAAAUAUUACAUUAAUGUAGACAAAAAGAAGAAAAGCAUUAAUAAUGAAAUAAUCAAGAUUCAUAUUACCAACCUGAGAAAGGCAGAAAGAUGGGAGAGACGUGAAGCUGUGCACGUUGUUUAACGUAAGAACAAUGAAGGUGUUUGUCAUGUCAGAAAGAGAGAGAAAAUGUUUCUAAUGGAGACUUUUAGAUUUUUUUUGAAAAUUUUAGUUAAGAUUUGUUUGGUAUUCCGUGUACCAUUGGUGGUGUUUGUUCUUGAAGAGUAAGAGAAUUGAAGAGACCAUGCGCAAAAGUAGGAGUGUGAGUCUGUGUAGGUCUCUAAUAAUUUCAUGUGAGCUUUUGCCACGUCUUCUCUUCUAUUCUUUGGUAGUCAGUGAAAUGUGGAAACUGGUCUUUCCCCCCUUGGCCUUCUUUUGUUUUUCUAACCAUAAAUCAUCUUUCCACCACCACUCUUCACAAUAACUUUUCUUUUAAUGAUUUCUUUUAGAAAACAAACAAAUCAUUAUUAUUGGAUGGUAUAUUUUUAAUGUAAUCUUUAAAUUCUUUUAAUUAUAAUUAGUAUAAAAAAAUUAUGCAGAAUUAAUUUUAUAUAUACUUUCUCAAUAUAUAUAUAUAUAAAUUAUUUUAUAAAUUUAGAAUUUAAAUAAUAAAUACUUUUUCAAAUUUUGAAUAAUUAAUUAAAUUAAAUAUUUACACAUUUUAAUGAUUUUAUUUAAAUGUUUUAAUUUAAUAGAAAAUUGAAGAAUUUGUGUAAAUUUUACCAAAAUUAAAAAUCAGAAUUGGGAGAACGUGCAAGGCGUAUCGACAAGUUAAAAUGCCCGAAGAUGAAGCCCAAUCCAAAACCAUGACCCAAAUCCAACCUCGUCGUCUCCUCCCAAAAUCAAAGCUUCGAGUGACUAUUGAGCGGUGAGGCACAGAAGACGAGUAUAGUAUCCAGAGAAAAAAAAAUACAGCGAAAUGGGAAGGAAGACCGGCGUAGCAGAGUUCGAAGAAUCGCCGCCCGAUGACUUUGAUCCGUCGAAUCCAUAUAAGGAUCCGGUGGCGAUGUUCGAGAUGAGGGAGCAUAUUGUCAGGGAGAAGUGGAUUGAUAUAGAGAAGGCCAAGAUCUUGAGGGAGAAGCUCAAAUGGUGUUAUCGCAUCGAAGGCGUUAACCACCUCCAGAAGUGCCGCCACCUCGUUCAACAAUAUCUCGACUCCACUCGCGGCAUUGGCUGGGGCAAGGACCAGCGUCCUCCCUCUCUCCACGGUGCCUUUUCUUUUUCUUUCCUUCCUUCCGUUUCUUUUCAGCCCUUGGAAUUUGAACUCUGCUUACAAGGGAAAUACUAAUUUUUUUUGCUUUGAUUUAUCCAUUUUGCGUUUCAGGUCCUAAGGUGGAGGCAGCUGCUUCUGAGUGAAUGGUCUGCAUUAAGGUAAUAUUAGAUUGUACUUUUACUAAAUUGUGAUCGUUGUGAAGUAUGUUUUAGCUGUGAUUGUUGAUUCUCUAUCUGUGAACCUAUUAUGAUGAGAAAUUGUUGCAUUUGUCCAAUUGCUGUUGCGGGAUUUUGUUUACGUGGUUUUCUAUCGAUAUCUAGGGCUCAACUUAGAAGGAAUGGGGAAUGACUGUACCCUGUUUCAUGAUUGAUUCGUAGGGAUAAAGUCUUCCUUCCUUAAAGCAAUGAUACUGGUUUCAAGUGCUUUUCAAAACUUCUAGAAUGCUGGGGAAGUUUUACUUUUGACAAGUAGAAGAUGGGGAAAAGAAGCUGAGCAUAAGAGUGACUAGGAUCCAUACAUCGGAUAAAUUUUCUGGGAUCCAUACAUAGGAUAAAUUUUAUGUGCACAAGUGCUUGUUUUCGAUUGAGGUUAGGAGAUGAUAUGUUAGGUUUUAUCUUCUUGCAAAUGUUAGGCUAAGAGUUUAAUGUUGUAUAUUUCCAGCAUUUGAGUAUUUUUCUGUGGGGAUGGAGUAUGGAGGAUGGUAAUGUUAUAGACUUGGGCUUUACAGCAGAUGGUUGGUUUUGUUUGGAACGUAAGAAGGAUACAAAAUAACAUAAGAUAAUUUAGCACCCAAUGCUAAUUUAGAGUCAAUAUGUUUAUAAUCUUCUUGGUAUUAAUAGGUUGUUAAAUGAAAGUUGUUGAGUUUGUUAUGUUAGUUAUGGUACUUAAUGGGUUGAUACAUACACUGUCUACUAUCCAUUGUUUAUGUCUAGGACUGCUGUAAUACCUAAACCUGACCAAUGCAUAAGUCAGUCAUGCUCUAUUAGGGGGUGAGCAAUUGGUCAGUUUGGUUCCAAACCGAACCGAAAUCGAAAAUCAAAUUAUAUGUUUUAGAGAACCAAACCAAACCAAACCAAAAAUAAGAACUAACCAAACUGAAUCAAACCGAAAUAAAUCAGUUUGGUUCGAUCACCUAAAACCGAUAUGGUAAAUGUGAAUAAACAGAUUUCAUCCAGAACUACUAAUGCAAAUUGCCAAAAUUUCAAUGCUUCAAUCAAAUCUUCAAGAAAAACCUUAAAAUGCAUAAUUCAAUCUUCAACUAAACAAUAAAUUUCAAUCAGAACAACCAAGAACAAGAAGAAGAAAUAACAAAGAACAAACCCAGAAAUAACACAAACCCAUAAAAUAAUACAAAUUCAGAAAGAAAAAAACUAGAAAAAUCACAAACAAGCAUCUAAGCACGCAGAUUUGAUGAUGUAAUUGUGAAAUUGGAGAGUUCAAAUAUGCGAAAUUCUCGGUGAGACUGGAUGAUCUAUGACAUUCCUCUCCAGUCGGCGACAGAUCAUUUGCCAAGCGCUCGAUAGUCGCCUUGUUGUGCGUGAGAGAGAGAGAAGUUGCUUCCUUGUCGUGAGUGAGAGAGAGAGGUCGCCUUCCUUGCCGUGAGUGAGAGAGAGGGCUAGACGGGUGGAGAGCCGCAACAAAUCAUGAACAAUGUCCUCCCUAAAUCCUCACCGUGAUUGAGAGAGGGUCAAAGGAGGUGGGGGCUAAGUGAGAGAGAGAGAGGGGGCAGCAAGCAGCAACGACGAGGAAGCUGCUUCUUUGUGAGCGGCAAUGACUUGAGGGAGGCAGGAGAGAGGAUAGGAAGAAUAAAAGGGGUGGCUAUACAAAUGGGUUAGGGUUCCAUUAUAUUGUUUAUAUAUGAGGCAAUUUAGUUCGGUUCGGUUUUCAGUUAAAAACCAAAAACUGCUCAGCCACGUGCUCUAUAUGAUGUAAGAGGCUUAGAAACAUAGAAACAUCUCUCCUUCUAGCAAGCACUAGGUUUCAUUGUUUUUGGGCCUUGGGCUUCAUGUUAGUCAUUGAGUUAGCUGAAUUUCAAUAGCUCCUUUAGAGAAAAUUACUAUUUAGUUCAUGUGAUAUGAAAAAACUCGUUAGUUGAUCUUUCGGUAUUGAAAAAUAUAUUAAAACGUGUCUAAAAUUUUAAAAAGUCUACUAGAUAGUCCCAGUGGUGGAGCCACACUUCUAUGGGUCCCCCUGGAAUUUUCAAAAAGGUUAGUGUCUAUUUUGAACUUUUACAAAGAUUAGGAUCCUUAUGAAAUUUUGAAAAAUCUAGGGUCUCUCUAAUAAAAUUUACAAUUAAUUCUUCUUAUUUUUUGUUGGUAAUAAUAAAGCCCUUGACUUAUUGCAAUUAAGCCUUAUUACAUUAAGCCCCCUAACUUCACAAUUCAUUCUAAAUUACAGCUUAAAUUUUUUAUUUUAUAACACUUAUAUUCUAUUAAAUAUAUUUAUCAUUAGAAGGGCUACAAAUUUCAUUUAAUGCUUAUUUUUUUUAAAAUUAAUAAGAAAAUAUCAAUUUUGAUGCAUACUCUAUCUUAUUUAAUUAUUAUGAUAUUUUACUAAAUUUAAUGAGUUGAUAAAAAAAUAUUUGGAUAUAUAGUUUUACAUUUUUUUUAUAGUUUCUUUCUAAUAUCAAAAUUGAUACAAGUAAAAGAAAAUUUAAUGCUCACAAUACGAAGAGAGUAAUUAAUAGAUAUUUUUACAAAAUGAGAGGACAACUAAUGAUUUUUUUUCAUGCUACAAGGAUUAAAUAGUAAAAUAUUUAACGGUUAAAAUUAAUGAAAUGACUAAUUAAUAGAUUUUUUAAAAUUUUAGGGCGUUUUAAUUUAUUUUUCAAAACCGAUGGACCAACUAAUGAGUUUUCUCAUACCACAGGGAUUAAAUAGUAAAUUUCUCUUUUUUAAAUUAUGAUGUACUGAGCCUAAAGCCCUUUUCUCAAAUCAAUGAAUGUUUUGACCUUUGAUUUUUUUUUUAAAAAAUAUCUAUUUCAUAUAGAAGCCCCUAUCUGUGGGGUCCCAAUCUCAUCAUUCAGAAUUUUAAAUGAUAAGAUGUUAAUGGGACAACAAUUUGAUAUGAUGACUCAACUUUGAUGGCAUGUUUUUGAUAUUUAUUUUGGUUGAGGGGACAUUGCAAGGCUUUUUAAAAUUAAAAACAAACAUGGUGUGUGGGAGAAAUAAUAGGAGAUGAAAUUUUUUUAAUGAUUCAUGAGGAGACAAUAGAGAGAGAAGUUGCUACAACAGUAUUUAGUUUGGUGGAGAAGCUGUUGCAAAGUUUAUUAGAAAAAAAUGAAAAUUUUAUGCAAUUCUAUGGUGUGUGGUGCAACAUACAAGGGUGUUUUGGUAGGGCUACCAUGCCUUAAAGAAAAAAAGGAGUGUACUUGGACCAGCCUCUUAAUUGAAUUGGAUCCUAUUAUUGAGGACUUCGGCAAAGCAAAAUUCUAAUUCCUUGGGACUUGGUAGUUAUAAUAGGAAUUACAUAAUAAUAAGUUGUUAGAAUCAAGAAUAAUAAGAUUCUAAUAUUCCAACAGGGAUAAUGAAUAAAUAUAUUAAAUUUCUCUAUCUGUAGGAUAUAGAUUCCACCUGAUUUGUUAUUGUGUGAUAAAUCAUAUAUUUUGUACAUGAUAAUUGUCACAUCACUUUCUUCUCAUUGUCUUUGUUGUCAUUGUAAUAUAUGCAAUUGAUGCAGUCAUUUGGAUGUGAAAAUGGCUUAAUAAUUUAGCUUUUAAUCAUAGCAAGGAAAUAAUUUAGCUUUUAAUCAUAGCAAGGAAAUAAUUUAAGUUUAAAACAUAUAUGAUGUAUGUGGUUCUGAUUGUGAAAUGGAUUACUUGGCACCAAGUUGGAUAUAUUUUCUUUCAUUAUGGUAUAUAUUAGUGCACAAGAGCGAGCAUUUCUACUGCUCCCGAUCUUUGCAAAGCCGGGGAGGUUCAUAAAUAUGCUCUUUUAAUUGUUUGCAAGUCCAAGUGAACAUAAAAAUAAUAAUUUGCAUAAUUGAAGAUAAAAUGAGGUUUUUUGGUUUUUUUAAUGCUUGCAGGUGACUAGAAUUAGAAGACGAACUCAAGAAGAGGGGAGAAGCUGUUAUAUUAGGUUAAUGCAUUGCUGUUAUUUGUGUUUUGCUUAAUUUUGGAUUAUUAUCGUCCACAGUGCUAAAUUAUCUCUUAAGUCCAUGUACAGGGACCAGAAAUUACUACCUCUGGAUCUCAUAAUCCAGUUCUUUAAUGAACAUCCAAAUAACAUCAGUGAUGUGGACAUAGAUGGCCAAGGAAUGAAAGCAGCUUAGAUAAUGAAAUAAAAGAUUUCCUUUCAUUGCUUGCUUUUGUUUAAUUGUGAUUGCUGAUUUGGGGAAGGAGAAAGAUACAUUGGAAUUUUUAUAUAAUUUUUGGGUUGGAGGGAUCUUGUAAGAUCCGAAAGCUUUCACGUCUUGUGUUUGGAAAAAUUUAGUUAAUUUGGCUAUAAUAGCAUUUCUGGAUGUGAAAUCAUAAGUUUAAGUAGUGGUGGCGGCCUUGACAAUUGGCGGGGUUGUCAUUUUCAUUGUUUCUUUCUCUUAUUCUAGCUUUUAGUUUCGACCUUUUCUUGCACUUAGUCAAAUGGUUUUGGGUGUGAGAAUUUGAAAAUGUUAAGCCGCCUAUUGCCUCCCUUGAGUUGAGGAUUUGGAGUUCUCUUCCACUUUUUUUUUUUUUGGGGCUGGGAAAAUAGAAUUAUUCUAUAGAAAUUAUAACCUAGUCCCUGUUUACAACUCUCCCUGUUUACUCGUUGAAAACAAUUUUCCUAUUUUUCAUUUUCAUGCAAAGUUGACAAAAAAAGUUUAAUUAUUUAUUUUGGCCUGAAUAGGCUAUUCAACCGAGGAAAUUUAUUUUUUAAAAAUAAUAAUUUUUUAUUAAAAAUAUUUUUCAAUAAAAUAAUUUAUUUAUUUUAAAGACAGAAAAUAAUUUUUUUUCUUUUAAGUAGAAAAAGCUAUUUCUUUUAAAAUGACCUCCUCUUGUUUCUAUAGGAGAUUUUUUUUUUAAAGUAAUUUAAUUUUUAUUUUAAUUAAAAAAAAAAUUUUCACUUAAAAAGUUAAAAAAAUAUAUAAAAAAUACUUUUUAAAAAAUACUUUUUCAUAAAACAAAAAUCGGGUUAAAAAUAGAUUGUGCAGCCAAGUCUUUAUGCAAAAUUAUAAUUUAAAUUCGCAUAGAUUGUACAAAAUUAUAUUUUAAAUUCGCAUAGAUUGUGCAUAUACUUAGAUGUCGCAUGCCAAGUUUUUCUGAAUUUAUCAAUAAUAUUUUUUUGAGGUUGAUGUAAAAGCUAUAUGGUAGAUAUUGGCUCUAUGAAUUUCUUAUUAUAGUCGUCUCUAACAUGAACUUUUUGCUAGCAUCAAUCUUUUGCUUAAAAACAAAACACAACAUAAUUAAUAGACCCAAAAAAAAAAACAAAGAAAGAAAGAGGGGAUACUUUUUGCUUAGAUCGUUUGGGUUAGGCUUCCUACAUAUCCCAUAACCUCUUAGUUUUACCUGAUUUAGUAAAAACCAAAGCUAAAAACUACAUAUUUAAGUAAAAUACAUAUGCUUAUUAGAGGAUCAUGGAAGUGCAAUGAUGGGUUUAGGGACAAAAGUUCAUUUGAUCUAUCUCCAAACUGCUUUGUUUAGAUCUUCUCAGCUUUCUGCAAAUAAUUGUCUAUCUCAUUCUCGGCAAUUAAUGAAGAAAUCUAAGGACUUUGGCUUUGUGCAUAUGCCAACUUGUGAAGAACAGAAGAGGAAGAAAUUGCCAUACUUGCAAGCACAUGAACGUUGUAGCUUGUAAAACGUAGUGUCGACUCUGAUCUCCUUCACAUGAUAAAGAAAAAUGAAAGUAAACAUAUUGAACAUAAGCUAAGCAAAUGUUUUGACUUACCUGGCUUUACGGUUUGAAUCUUUGCAGAGAUUUAAUUAAUGGAACAAGAUGAUUGAUGAAGGAGCUCCCUUCAGUCCAAUGGGUGAGCGAAGCACAGAAGGAGUUGCUCCCACACCAUGCACUUGGCCAAACUUAACAUUUUAACAUUUCUUUAAUGUCAAGUAUUGCCAUGGUGCAUGAGAUGGCAGCUCUUGCUGCGAUCAGCCCUCCGUAUUGGACUGAAAGGAGCUCCCAUGCUCUCUCUCUCUGCACUUUUUUCUUGAAUAUCAUCGCAGAAUGGAGGUGGUCUUUAUAUAUAUAUAUAUUUUAAUCCAGUGGAGCCUGGAGGAGAGGAUGCUAUAGACCAAGGGAUCUUCUAAUUUGUUUUUGGGUUUGAAUCUUGGCAUGUGAUAUUCAGGUGGUUUUGUUCUUAUGCAACAAUUUUCUUUAAAAUAAAAAAUAAAAUAUUUAAGACUCAAUAAAUUUAAGAUUUCUGAAAACAAUCUUUUUUUUAAUCACAGUUAUUAUUGAUUCAUUACACUAAAACUAAAUAAUAUUCUCCACAUACUAAGAAAAUAUGUAUUUUCGGUAAUUAUUUACUCUACAUAUCAAAAUUAAAUUUUUGACUAAAAAAAUAUCAAACCAUUCUUAUUAAAUUUUUUAAUUUUUUAAAAAUUCAUUAAUUUGUCUUUAUUUUAAAUUUGUUAUUAAAAUAUAGUUGUUAAAUAACGAUUAAUUAUUUUAAAUAUUUAUAUUGUUUAAUCAUUAUAAUUUUAAUUAUAUAUAUUAUUUAGUUCACAUAAUUUUAAAUAUUUAUACUAUUUAAUUUCUUUAAUUAAUUAUAAAAUAAACUGAUAUAAUUUUUUUUAUUUUUUAAAAAUACAACAAUAUUUAAUAGAGUAAUUUUAAAAUAAAUAUCAAAUUUUUUAAAAAAUUGGAGAUUUAAUAAUGAAUUUAAAUAUUUAAUUUAAUAAUUAAUAAACUAUUCUUAUAUGGGAAAGAACUUGUAAAAGGGUACACUCUAUUUUCAAUGUAGUCAAGUCAAAUCCGAGUAAUCAAUCUUUGGUGAUUUUCAAAGUUACUGAAUGCAUGCAACAAAGCAGGACAACACAUUCCCUGAGAAUUUGUAAGCAAACUCAGAACAGAAAAUAAAAGAUAAAGAAACGAGAAUUUCCAUUUUUUUUCUGGUAACUUAAAGCUUACAAAUGAAAUGGUACACAUAAUAAGAGACAAAAGAAAUCAUCAAUUCAAGAGUUUGAGAAGAAAGAAUCUGAUUCCAAAAUCACUAAAAAAAGCUACAAACACUAAAUCCCACCACUGCAUGGCUAUUGCCUAGGGCUAUUCCUAAACCUAAACCUAAAGACUGUCCUCGUAACUCAAACAUAUUUGAUCAUCUUUUGUACUCUCCCCUUUUUUGCCCUAAUUAAUAAUAAGACAAACUCACUUGCUAUCCGAUGCUAAUUCUAUAUAUGGGAUUGUAGCAUGCUAUCAUAAGAGGUCCGACAUUAUCCAGUAUUCUAAUAAAAUAAGUUGGAUCGGUAUAUAAUAUAAUAUAUUAUGGAUUGGAUAGUAGCAAAUCUAAAUUUCGUUAGCCGGGGUGUGGAGGACGGGAGCUCCUUACUUGAAGGCGGGGUUUUAGGGCUCUACUCCCGAGGUGAAUUUUUUCUAGAAUUAUUUUAUUUUUUUAUAUUUUUUCUGAACAUAUAAAUAUAUAAUAUUUUUCUAGUGUAUUUUGUUUAAAAACUUAUAAAAAAAAAAUAAAAAAUUGCCUUAUGGCCUGACCUUAUUUAGUGGGAUCAAUACUCGAAUGGCUUGAUAAAAAUUGUCUUAUGAUCUUGCUUAGUGGGACUAACGCCUGAAUGGUCUAGCCUGAUGAGACUGUCUUAUGGCCUUGUUUAGUGUCUUUUUGAGGGAGGCCAUCCCAUUAUUCCUUGUUACCUAAGAACACUACAUGUGAAAAUACCUUGUUAAUUUGUUAUUGAUAAAACUUUCUCAUAUUACAGAUGUUCCAAGAAUGGGGGAAUGACUUGACUAUCUAACUUGGCUAGCUUAUAUGAUCCUGGGUGAAUAAUCUUCGAGACCCUGAACAGUCCUUUCCAAUUCUCACCCAACUUAUUAGACCCCACACUAUAACCCGUUACAUCUAUUAUUUUAAGGACUAGAUCCCCUAUAUUGAAGAUGUGUGGCUUCACCUUACUGUUGAAUAUUCUAAACAUCUUGUUUCUGUAAAUCGCUAUUCUGAUUGCAACAUUUUCUCGCAGGAAUUCUGCUUAGUCCAAAUUGAAUUGCUUUUCUUAAGGAUUUCCUGACAUCUCAAGAUAUUGUGUCCUAAAGCUGCCUACUUGGAUUUCUAUGGGAAUGACUGCCUCAGCCCCGUAUACAAAAAAAAGGGCGUUUUUCCUGUAGCUGUCCUGGGGGUGGUUCUGUAUGCCCAUAGCAUAUGGGGUAACUCUUUGAGCCAAUUGCCCUUGACUUGGUUGAGUUUUUUCUUCAGACCUAGUAGGAUGAUCAUGUUUAUCACCUCAGUCAUACCAUUGGUUUGGGGGUGAUAGGUUGAACUGAACCUAAAGUCAAUUUCUUAUUUCUUGCAGAAGUCUUUGAACCUGGUGCUUACAAACUGAGUUUCAUUAUCGGUGAUUACUCUCUUUGGUAUUUCGAAUCGAGUGCAUAUACUUUUACUGAUGAAGAAAAUCACUUGUUGGGUAGUGAUGGACUGUACUGUCUCAACCUCUGCCCACUUGUUAAAAUGAUCUACCACCACGAUAACAAACUUUCUUGACUCGGUUGACUUAGGGAACGGGCCAAGGAUAUCUAUCCCUACUGAAAGAAAGGUGAGGGACUUCCAAUGGCCGCUUGCAUUUCUCUCGAGAUCCUUAAGAUGUUUGCAUGUACUUGAUAUCUUUAACACCUCUAAACAAGUUGUUUCGUGUCUUCUAUUAUCAUCGGCCAGUAGUAUCCUUGUCUAAAUGCUUUCUGAGCAAUCAUUCAAGCUCCUUCGUGGCUCCCGCAAUCACCUUCAUGGAUAUCCUUUAAGAUUUUCUGGCCUUCUUAAUAACACACCACAAUCAUAGAUGUGUAGAGGACCUCCUGUAUAAUCAACCAUCAAUUAGUGCGUAUUUAGAGGACUUCCUUAUUACCUGUUUGGCUGAUAAUUUAUCGGCUAGACGGUUAUCUUGUGUCAAGAAUUGGUAUAUUGGCGUCAUCCAUGGUUCUCCUUCUUCUAUAGGAAAGGAUUCUUCCACUUUCGUUGUUGGAUUGUGCAAUUUCUCAAACUGAAAUGGUUGGGUUAAGUGUUGUUCACUCGUCACUGCCAUCUUGGCUAGAAGAUCCGCCUCUUCAUUGUUGUUUCUGGUCACCUGGCAAAGUUCACAACUACUCUGCCCAUCUUUAAUCUUGUCCAUCAGGGACUAAAUCUUCUCCUCGUAUUUGAUAAGAUUCGGUUCUCGGAUUCUAAAUUAUCCCUGACAUUGAUUAACAACCAAUUGUGUGUCACUAAAAAAUAGAUUUUUGUAUAUCUAAUUUCUUGAUGAUUCUUAGGGUUAUUAUUACAACCUCGUAUUCGGCUACAUUGUUGGUGGCAUUGAAGGUGAGUUUGGCCGUAUAUCGAAACUUUAUCCCUGUCUAAGAUUGCAACAGGAUCCCGAUUCCUGAACCCCCAGCUUCGCAAGCUCCAUAUGCUUAGACCUUUCGUUCCUUUAUGUUCUCCUCUAAGGACCCUGAAGGCUCUAACGGUGGAGUCAUCUCUGCAACAAAGUCGGCUAGUACCUAAGUUUUCAUGGCCUUCCUUAGAACAUACUUGAUAUCAUAGGCUGACAAUAUUAUUACCCAGGUGGAUAACCGUCCUGACAACUCCGGCUUAUGUAGAACAUUUCGUAAAGGGUAAUCUGUUCUGACUUCUAUAGUAUAUAACUCGAAGUAUGGCCAUAGCUUUGUGGCUGAUAUUAGCACUGUGAAUGUUAACUUUUCGAGGGGAGAGUAGUUCAAAUUUGCCCUCUUUAACACCUAGCUAGCAUAGUAUACUGGACUUUGCUCCUCAUUAUUUUCAUGAACAAGUAUUGAGUAAACUGUUUUCUUUGUUACAGAUAGGUAUAGAAAUAAAAUUUUGCCUUCAACUGGCGGACUUAGCAAUGAAGGGGAUGUUAAGAAGGUUUUUAGACUUUCAAAUGUUUCUGCACACUCUUCUUCAUAUUCAAACUUGUCUUUGCCUUUCAAAGCUUUGAAGAAUGGGAAAGGCACUUUCUGGCCGAGCAUGGUAUGAAACGACCCAGGGCAAUGACCCGCCCAUUCAACCUUUGUACCUCAUUAAUAGUUUUGGGUGCUUCUAUGUUUUGGAUGGCGUUGAUCUUUUCAGGGUUUGCCUCUAUAUCACUUUCUGAGAUUAUAUAUCCUAGAAACUUUCCAGCUUUUACUCUGAAAGUACACUUUUCAGGAUUCAACUUCAUACCCGCCUUGUCUAGGACAUCAAAAACUUUUCGAAUAUCCUCUGGAUGGUCUUCCAAAGAUUGAGUUUUCACUACCAUGUCAUCCACGUAUACCUCAACUGUUGAUCCCACCAUUUCCUUGAAGAUUCCUAACACCAGCUUUUGGUACGUUGCCCUUGUGUUCAAUCUGAAAGGUAUUACUUUGUAGCAGUAAACUCCUUUAUCUGUUAUGAAUACAAUCUUUUCUGCAUUUUCGGUAUCCAUCAUGAUUUGGUGGUAUCCUAAAAUAGCAUCAAGGAAGGAGACCACUAUAUGCCCUAAGGUCGAGUCCACUAAUCUGUCAAUGGACGGUAACGGGUAGUGAACUUUCGGACAUGCUUUAUUUAGGUCAGUAAAGUCCACGCACAUCCUCUAAUUUUCGUUAGCUUUCUUUACUAGGAUCGUGUUGGCUAGUCAUGUGAGAUACUGGACUUUCUUUAUUAACUCUACACUUAGAAGUUUAUCAACCUCUUCUUUGAUCUCCUACUGCCCCUCUGGUGCGAACUUCCUUUUCUUUUGUUGGACUGGUUUGACGGUCUUAUCAAUGAAUAGUUUAUGGGUGAUGAGAGCUGGGUAUACACCUAUUACAUCUUUUGGAGACAAAGCGAAAGUGGUUACUCUAUUCUUCAACAACUUUAUUAAAUGAACCUUUAUUUCUCCGGUUAAUGCAGUGCCAAACUGCAUCUUUUGCUCCUUUCCUACUUGGACCUCCUCUACUGGAUCUGUGGGUUUUGGCUUUAUGUGAGAUUCUGGCAGGAUUUCCGUAAUCUUUUUUGUCUGAUCUCGGACUGCUGCUAUUCCCUCCGGAGUUGAAGUUUAAGACAAUAGCACCCAUAUUAAUAACAAUACCGUGGUAGUUUAAGAUCAGACGACCGAGUAUCACGUUGUAUGCAAAUGGGAUAUCUACCACCGCGAACUCUGCAUAUAACUCUCGCAUACACUUUUCAUCUCCGAGUACCAAGGGAAGGUUGAUGGUACUUAGUAUUGCCAUGGUUUUAUCUCCCAACCCUAAUAAGGGAUAGGAGGCUCUGAUAAAAUUAUUUUUUGUAACAGCCCGAAAACUGAACUGCUACCGGCACUAGGAUCCAGAUCGACUUAAGGUCGCCGGGACCCGUAGUAAGCCUGCUAUCUUGUCUGUGUACCUGUGAAAUCCCAUACAUAAUCAUACUUUUUCUGUCAAACUAUAAAACUGUUCUGUCCUCUAGGGCUUAACCUGUGCAUGCACUGUAUCUCUGCUAUUAUAUCCCCACUCUAGGCGGAUAUUCCUCAUAUUGUUAAGCCUGGUUUUCUCAUAAACAUACAACUCAUAAACAUACACUGCAAAUAAAAUACUGAUCAUGUGUACACACAAAGGGAUUACAACUCUUAUAAGUCAAGCACAAGUCUAUACACUGUACACUAUCUCUUUACAAUUACAUGUCCACAGUAGCUAUUACAAAACUCUUCUUCUUCUACACUCUGCUGGACUCCCUUCUGGACUCUGAACCUGCACAACUGGGGUUAGGGGAGAGGGAUGAGCUAUACAAGCCCAAUGAGUAGAACUAUAAAACAUGAUCUCAUGGAAUGCAUCACAUCACAGACAUUUCAUCUCAAGGAUAGACAUGACCACCAAAAUUCCCACUGGGAGGAUGCCUGGCCUAGCCAGGUCUUACAACCAAAAUUUGCCUGGCCCGGCCAGGUCUUACAAACUCUGCUCGCCUGGCCCAGCCAGGUCUUACGAUAAUCUGCUGCCUGGCCUAGCCAGGUCUUACCUACAGAAGGCUGCCUGGCCCGGCCAGGUCUUACACAGAGUUAGGGCUAUUGGGGUCGCCUUGGUCCAUCCAUCUCAUCAUAGACAUCGUAUUAUGCAAUGCAAUGCGUCAUAUUCGUGAAACUAGUGUAAUCAACCUACUAUAGUCAUCAUGAUGCAUGCAAUAUGCUAAAAGCAUUGUAGUUCUGCUGAAAAGAGAAGUGCCACUCACCGCUGGUAGCCUCGGAACUACCUCUGCAGGUUCUGAUGCAGUACUCACUGCUGACUUCCCUGAUUCCUCUGGUCCGUUCCUACACAGGUGGACUCAAAUGAGGGACUCCCCAAAAGACCUCUAAAAGAUCCUAAAACAAUCACAUAAAACAUGCAAAAGAAAGCUGGACAGGGCACUUUCGGCGGCAUAUUCGGCGGCCGAAACCCCUCUCCAGAGAUGAAACUCAUGCAUGUUCGGCGGCACUUUCGGCAGCCGAAAGUCUUGUCCAGAGACGAACCUCAACCUUCGGCGGCACUUUCAGCGGCCGAACCUUGCCUCCAGAGACGAAAGUCCAAAUGUUCGGGGGCAAGCUUUGGCAGCCGAAACUGCCUCCACAAGGGGUUCGGCGGCCGAACCUUCCUUCGACGGCCGAACCUGGCUUUGUCCAGAGGACAGAACCCUGCUCUGUUUCCUGUAAAUCUCCCCCAAAAGUUACCCAACAUGCAUAGCAACUACUCCCAACUAACACAUACCAUAAAACAUGCAUAAAGAGGUCCAAAACUAUCCUAAACCCUCCAACAAACAACAUUUAACAUGCUUACACAACAAAUCUCCCAAAAACCUCAUCUAAACCUAAUCAUGCAUACUACCCAUCAAACUUCCAUAAAACCUUCAAAACUCAUCAAAGAAGUUCAGGAUCAACCCUUACCUCCUAAAGAACUUGAGGAGGAGUGAUCCUAACGUGGAGAUAGGGAGAAAACCUCUUCCAAAGCUCCAAGCUUCAAAACUUACUAUGUUUGCUCAAAACCUUCAAAACACACCAAAACUCUUAAGAACUUGGAAAGAUUUGGUGAAAAACAUGAAAAACAUGAAAGUCAACGUGGGAGAGGCUUGAAUGCACCUCUGGCUGCAAGUGGAGGAGAAAUAUCCUCCUUCCACCGACCCUUGGCCCUUUUAUAGGUGGCUGGCCAGACCACCUUCGGCAGCCGAACGUGAAUCCGAAACCAUGCAAUGUUCGGCGGCCGAAAGUGACCUUCGGCGGCCGAACCUUUGCAUUUCUCCCUUGUUGCUUUUCUUUCAAAACUCAUUUCCUUUAACACUUUCAAACAUUCCAAACUCUUAAACCACACAUGAAAACAUAUGUCUUACCCUUCUCGAGGGUUCCGACACUCGAGAUUCCACCGAUCUACAGGAAUUCUGAUGUCGGACUCAAGCCGGGUAUUACAUUCUCCCCCCCUUAAGAACAUUCGUCCCCGAAUGUUCCUCAAACAUAAAGCACAUAAACACAUAGGAAAGGGAAAAACGACCUUAAAACAGAUAUGGGUAUUGCUGGAGCAUAGACUCUCGUGUCUCCCAAGUGCACUCUUCUAAGUUGUGGUGGUUCCAUAGGACUUUCACCAUUGGUAUCUCCUUGUUUCUCAGCUUUCUGAUCUGUGUCCAAGAUCUGUACUGGCUGCUCUUCAUACGUGAGAUCCCCAAGGAUCUCUACAUCAGGCUCACUGAGAACCUUCUCUGGAUCUGACACAAACUUCCUCAACAUAGAAACAUGGAAUACCGGGUGAAUUCGUUCCAUCGAUGCAGGUAAAUCCAGUUUAUACGACACAUUUUCGAUCCUCUGCAAAAUCUCAAAAGGACCAAUGUAUCGUGGGGCUAGUUUACCCUUUCUUCCAAAGCGAACCACUCCCUUCAUUGGAGACACCUUUAGCAAUACCAUAUCCCCCUCCUGGAACUCUAUCUGCUUCCUACGAAUGUCUGCAUAGCUUUUCUGUCUGCUCACAGCUGUUCUGAUCCUCUCUCUGAUCAUAGGCACCAACUUGCUGGUAAUCUCCACUAACUCUGGCCCUGCAAGAGCCUUCUCUCCAACCUCUUCCCAGUAAACAGGUGUUCUACACUUCCUUCCAUACAGAGCUUCAUAAGGGGCCAUCCCUAUGCUAGCAUGAUGGCUGUUGUUGUAGGCAAACUCCACUAGUGGUAGAUGCUGCCUCCAAGAACCGCCAAAGUCUAACACACACAUGCGCAACAUAUCUUCUAUGGUCUGGAUGGUCCUUUCUGACUGACCGUCUGUCUGUGGAUGGAAAGCAGUACUGAAAUCCAAUCUUGUGCCCAUAGCAGCUUGCAGACUCCGCCAAAAUCUGGAGGUGAACUAAGGUCCUCUAUCUGAUACAAUCGACACUGGAACUCCAUGCAGCUUUACUAUUUCGUCCACAUAUACCUGCGCUAGCUUGUCUACAGAAUAGUUACUCCUAACUGGAAUGAAGUGGGCAGAUUUAGUGAGUCUAUCCACAAUCACCCAUAUGGAGUCUACUCUGUUAGACGUCGCCGGUAACCCCACUACAAAAUCCAUAGCUAUGUUCUCCCAUUUCCACUCUGGAAUCGGUAGUGGGUUCAGCAUUCCAGCCGGCUUCUGGUGCUCUAGCUUCACCCUUUGACAUGUUUCGCAGGCUGACACGAACUGUGCCACUUCUUUCUUCAUUGCUGGCCACCAACUCAUUUCCUUUAACACUUUCAAACAUUCCAAACUCUUAAACCACACAUGAAAACAUAUGUCUUACCCUUCUCGAGGGUUCCGACACUCGAGAUUCCACCGAUCUACAGGAAUUCCGAUGCCGAACUCAAGCCGGGUAUUACAUUUUUAUCCACGUCUAAUUUAUUAAAAACGUUUAAGAUGAGAAGGUUAAUAGAGCUACAUAUAUCCACCAGUACCCUCCUUACCUCAUAUCAGUUUAGGAGGAUCUUAAUGACCCGCGAGUCAUUUUAGAAGAAUCUAAUCGCCUUGUUUGCAAGCCAAAUCUUACCUCUUGCCUAGUCCAUGGUUCUUGAUGGAUGGAUAGGAUGUCUUCUGCUACCUGCUUUUUUUUUUUUUUUACCUAUGAUGACAUAUACAAUUCUGGCAAUUUUCAAGAAUAGAGAAGAAAAAAAAUUCCUUCUUUAAGGAGAAAAAGGAAUAAGAGUCUAGCAUAAACCCAAAAGAUUAGAGAGAAUUCAAUGGGUUUUUCGGUAACGGAACCAAAUGAUGUUGCUGAGAUUAAAUUGAUGACGUGGUUGGAAUGAAGCUGUACUGUGAUUGGCUAGAACCUGCAAGAGAGAAAGUGUGAGGCGGUGGGCAUCCACUCCGAUGCUUAAGUCAGAACAGAGAGAAUGCAAUAGAUAAUUUAGAGUUUGAAUAGUAUUAGAGAUAGCAUAUUUUUGUAUUUGUGAUCAUUCUUUUUUCACACUGUAAGAAAAUGGAGAUAAAUAUAGUGUUUCUUGAAAAUUCGACGAUGAUGUGGUUGACUGCUCGAUAGUGGGCAUCGACAGCUAAUAGGCAGGUGAUCCUGCGAUCACAAGCGAUAUGCUGGACUGUGUCUAAUAACAAUAAUUUUGUGUCAAAACUCGGUCUAUCAGGGGCGAGUCUUGACGACAACUGGAGCGUUAAAGUGUCCAGAUCUCUUAUUCUGUGGCGGGACCACUUUUUCCGCUUAUAUUUUUUUGUCACGUAACUUUUGUUUUAUGAUGACAACUCAUAAUUUAUUUUGGAUAAAUAUUAUGUAAUAUCCAUAAUUAUGGUAGAAAUAGAUUUACGGAUAAAUUAAUAGAUGGAUUUAAAUAAUAUUAUAUCUAUUAUUUAAACUUUUUAUAUAAAUAAAUAAUUAAUUAAAUAUGAAAUAUAUAUUUUAUAUAAUAUUUAUAAUAUUUUUAGAUAUUCUCUUUUACAAAAAUAAAUUUAACGUAUUUUAUAGAAAUAUUAAGAUUUUUUAAAAUAAAUUAUUAAUGAAAGAUAUAUAUUUCUAUAUAUUAUUAUUUAUUUAUUAAAUGAGUUUAAAUAUUAUUAGAAUAAUAAUUAGAUCUGGGACAAAUUUAAAUAGUUUAUAGUAUUUUAAUUAAGGAUAUAAAUGUUAAUUUUAAUAUGAAAAUUAAAAACAUUAUAUAUUUUUAUCAUUUAAAAAAUAAUUAAGUAAAAAUUGCAUAAAAAGAUAUUUAAUUUUUUAUAUUCAAAAUAUAAGGAUUAAAAUAUUUAAAUUUCAAAAUAAUAAGGCAUAAAUGUUAAUUUCUGAAAGUAUUUUAUCCUUAACAUUAAUUAGUGCUCAAUUAAUAUCAUAAAAAAUAAGAAAAUUUUUUAAAUAAAUAUGUUCUAUUAUGAACCAAGUUAAUUCGAAAACAUAAAAUAUAAAUAAGUAAGUUUUCUUUUUUUUUUUUUAUAUAGAAAGUCUGUUGAGUAUUAAAUAAAUUGAAUUAAUUAUUUUAAAUUAAAUAAAUAAUAAUAAUUUUAAUCAGAUUAUUACUGUCUAUAUAAAUCUGUCAUUGAUUUUUUGGCAACCAUAUGAAUUGCCAAUUAAUUCUAUAAUAUAUAUAUAUAUUUUUUCUUUCAUUCCUUCUACAAUUUUUAUUUACUUAUUUUUAAUUAUUUAAAAAUUAUUAUUCAUUUUUUAAAUUAUAGUAAUAUAUAAAUUAACUGUUGUAAUUUUAUUUUAUUUUAUUUUAUUUUUAAGAAAUUUUUUAAAAUUUUUAUUAAUGUAUUUAAGAGGAUUAUAAUUGAAAAAUUAAUAAAAAAUUUAUAUUUUUUAGUAAGUAUGAAAAAGUAUAGUGAAUUAAAAUUAUAAGAUUUUCUAUAAUAAAAGAAUUAAACAAUAAAUUUUACUAUAUAUAAUUUAAGUUAAAAAAUAUUAAAUAAUUUAAAUUAAUUAUUUUGAUUUAAAUUAAAAAAAGAGUUUAAAAAUUAUUAAAAUAAAUUGGAGUUAAGAGUGGUUACGAUAUUUUCACGUUUUAUAAUUUUUGUCUAUCUCUUUUUAGUUAUUUUAAUGUUAUUGUCAAUUUUUUUAAAUUAUAAUAAUAUAUAAAUUAAAGAUUAUAAUUUUAUUUAAUUUUUUCUGAUUUUUAAUAAAUUUUUUAAAAUAUAUAUUAAUAUUUAAUAAAAUUUAAAAUAAAUAUAAUUAAAAAAUUAAUAAAAAAAAUUAUGAGACAGACUGAAAUUUUAUCCAUCAUCAUCAACAACAUUUUAAAUUUAAUUUAUUAUGAAUGAAAUGUCUAAAAAUGAAUUAAUUAUUAGAAUUAUUUUACUAAUUGGUCUGAUCAAUUCAACUAAUUUGAUUGAAAAACUUUUUUAAAAAAUAAUUCUAAGAAUAAGAAGACAAAAUUUGUUACCAGAAUAAUAAGAUUUUUUUUUGUUUUUAACAUAUUAUGAUGGAAUUUAUAUUUUUUGAAGAUGACAAUCCAAUAAUUUAAAUUUGAAAAUGUCAAAUUGAAAAUUAAAUUAUAAAUUGAAAUUCUUUUUGUAUGAAUUGUACACUCAGAUUUGCUAAAUGAAGGGAAGAUUCCUGCCAUCUAGCCGGCCUCUAGAACCUAGCUAGAUGAAAGGAAAAGAAAAAGUAAAAAAAAAAAUAAAAAUAAAUCCAUAUUAUUAAUUAUGCAAAUAAUUUCUUUAACCAACAAAAUAUUUAUGAAUUAAGAUUAUAAGUGUUUUUAAAAAUUCUAUAUAUAUUUUUGUUAAAUUUUUUAAUUAUUUCAAUUAUAUACACAAAUGUUUUUGAGUGAGAUAUUAUUAAAUAGAGGUGUAAUAUAAAUUUAAGAGAAAAAUAUAAAAAAAAAUUAUGUGAUUUUAUUUAUUUUCAUUUUAAGGUUUAUAAUUUAAUUUAUAUUAAAAUAGUACAGAUAGUAUUAUGUCGAUAAUAAAUAGUAGUAAUUUUAUGAUACCGUAAAAAAAUAUGGACGUGGCAAGUAAAAUAUAUUUAUUAAUUAAAAAAUAUAUAUAAAAAAAUAUAAUGCACUUAUUUUUAUUUUAAAGCCUAUAAUUAAUAUUUCGUGAUAUAAUUUUUAUAUCAAUAUUUUUAAUUAGUUUAAAAAUUACUACUAUUUGCUAAUAACGCGAUAUUAUAUAUACUACUUUUAAUAUAAAUUAAAUUAUAGAUUCUGAAAGUAAAAAAUCAUACAUUUUUACACUUUACCUAAAUUUAAAAUACAUAACUUCACAUUAUUGCAAUUUUAUAUAAUGAAAUUAAAGCUAAUUACUAUUCUCACUAUUUCAUAAUUUUUAUUUAUUUUACUUUUUUUAUACAUAUUAAAAAGAUAAUUUUAUUUAUUAACUUUUUCAUUAUAUUCAUUUUAAAUAUAUUAAUUUUUAUUAAAUAUUAAGAAAUAUUUUAAAAUUUUUUUUUAAAAUAUGAUAAAAUUAAAUAGAAUUAUAAUAGCCAAUUUAUAUAUUAUUAUAAUAUAAAAAAAUAAAGAAUAAUUUUAAAAUAAUAAAAAAAAUCGUAUGAAAAUUAUGAAAUAGAGCAAUAUAAAAAAAAAUUAAAAUUAGCAGUAAAUUGUUUAUCAUAGUAUAAUUAAAAUUUUUUAUAAGAAUUAUAAAAUUAUUAAGAUAACAGUUUGACAAUAAUUUAAAAUUAUGAUAAAAAAAUUUAAUUUUUAACUAUAUAUAUAAAUAAAUAAUUUAUUUUAUAUUUAAUAAAAUUAUAAUUUUAACUACAUUUUUUAUUUAUUGUAAAAAAUAAAUAAUACAAUGAAUUUUAAAAUAUUAUUAUUAAUUUAUCACUACGCCUGAAGUAUUUAAGAUAAUAAUUUUAAAUCCAUUUUUACAGUAGUGCCAUCGUGGAUUGAAGAAACAGACAAAUGAAUCUCAUUUAAAUUUUAAUAUUAUAUUUUAUAUUUUAAAGAAUUUUUAAAUAUUAUUACUGAUAUAAAUAUUAGAGUGAUUUUCAAAAAUUACAAACUAACUCAUUUUUAUUUUAUUUUGCAAAUAGUCUCUCUGAUCAAACAAUCAAAAGACUCGGGGUAAUAUCAUUACCAAACACUGUAAUUAAAAACGCAAUGUAAUUCUUAUUUCAUUAUACUAUUGAUUAGUGUACGAAACACAGCCUAAUUUCAUGUGUUUCUUGACAAACACAGCAAGCAUUGACCCUGUGUCUAGGACAAAGCAAAAGAUAAGACUACGUACUCUCAAUAUUCCUCUAUACGUAUUACUCAUCCUUGGCAACCUUUUCUUCUUCCAACUUCACAACAUUGUAUUGAUAACUUAAGAUUAACACAUAAGUCAUAUAACAAUCAAAAGAUAUACACUAUAAAAAUCAGUCAAAAUAUAGUUAAACCGCGUUUCAUUGAUAAAUAGUAGAUCGCGGAACCUCUGUUAUCCGAGCUGCAGACGAGUCCUCGUAGGAGAAUCAAGCCAUAGUUCACCACGCAAGCCUAUCUAUUAGCACACGACUCAAAUCAUAUUCGAGCAAGCCGAGCGGAUUGGGAGUCGGACCCAAUAAAGAGGGAUCCAACUCACCUGAUUUGAUGGAUCAAAGGGAGACAGACCCAUCUAUAUCCAUGACCCAAUUAGCACAAGUGGCAGAGGAAAUUAAAUAGCCGCUUGACGAUGGAAAGAGUCUGUAUGUACGUCUUUAUAUAAUAGCGACAUGUGACACUAUAAUAAAGUGGCGGUUAUGCGUACUAGAGGAUAAAUAGAAAAAUGAAUAAAGGAAGAAGGUAUGAACCCUGACUAAACUCACUCCCAUGUACCAGAAUUCUACUUUCUUCUUAAUCUCAGAUCGAUCAUUCGUCAGUAAUUUCGAAUUGUUUUUUUUUUUUACUUUUUGUGGUAAUUAUAUAUAAAUUAUUUUACUCACAAAUUCUAAGUGCAACCAACUUGAUGCACACUUCAGUGAUCCUGAAGACAUUUAGGACAAUGAGAUUCAUUGAAAUCUUGGUUUGUUAAGAAUGAUACAUCCGAGUAGAAAGAGAGAGGGAGGUAACUGCUACGUUACUUCUUCUCUUAUUAUAGCUUUAUCAAUUUAAUUCAUACAAAUUCAUCCCAUGUUUGCAGAAACAAGAAGCAAACAAAGGCAUGCAUCAGUUGGUAUAUAUAGUACUUAAACGGUUAUCUGUUGAUGUAAGGAAAUGCAGUUCCCAUGAAGGACGUUCUCUUUACAAAUCGACCUUUCAUUCUAGGCCUUUUUUCCGCGUUCAAUCUCCUCACUUCGUACCUUAUCUUCUUCGAAAAUAGUCUUGUCCUUCGCUUUUCUUUGUACCUUAACACUCUUGCUUCUCUUCCUGCGUUGCCUCCUCCUGCUCCUCCCCCAACGCCGGCCACGUAGGGGUGGCGACCCCGUGCAUUGCAGCACAUACCCUAAACAAAAAAUUUAAAAAUAAGUUGAAAUUGUAUGCAUUCUAGAGAUGAAGAUAAGUGUCCGUAUAUAUAUAUAUAUAUAUAUAUACCAUGCAGUGAGGCCAGCAACCAUCAGGGUUGAGCUCUGGUCUGGGUCCUGUAGUCCAUGGAGAGCCAUGGCUAGCCCAAGCAUUGAUGAUUGCUUCAUAAUUUAGCCUCAAAAAUACAUUCCUUUUCAUUUCCUUCUUGUUUCCAUGACAAUUCAUCUCUUCUACUGUUGUGGGUGACUCGUAAUUGAAAUCCCAAUCAAAUAUUGCUUCCAGUUGAUCUUGUUCAUCCUUGACUUUCACUACUUUGUAUUCAUAACUGAACUUCUCAUCACCUUCAUCUUUAGAAUCCAACACUCUCGAAGCCUUUGUAUCAGGAGAAGAGUCCUCAAGUCCACUUCCAAGUAGAUUCUCAAUGUCUGCAGCAAACUCACCAAGGUCCAUAUCUGAAGGUAAAAACUCAGGUAGAUUAUCCAGGUCGCUUGCAGUUCCUCCGUGUCCAGAAUCAUCAAAAAUCACAUUUCCCUCUUCGUUCCCCAUGGCUGCUAUUUCGGUUCCUUCAUAUGUUAUCAUAUCAUCAACGCAUAGCUCUGCAGCAAAAGGAUCAAAUACAGGAACCCUACAAGGAACCUGAUCUUCAUCUUCAUCAGCAACAAUAUUACUUUCUUCUUCAUUACCAAUCUCAGGAACAAGAAGAAGAGGGUUCAUCAAGAAUUCCUCUUCAUGUUCAAGUUGUUGACGUGCUAAUAAGGACUUAUUGUUCUUAUGCCUCGGGGUUCUUGCUUUUCUAUUAAACCCUUGAAGCCAAGCUGGAGGAGAUACCACAGAUUCAAGCCUGACCCUUUCGUGCCUCCCGGCUAACUGGUUAGCUGAAUGAACUGAUUCUUCACAGCUCCGGCAAAGAAAAGCAUCGUCUGCAGCGCAGAACCACCGAGCUCUCUUGCUGAAACAGCCAUCACAGGGUCUAACAAUCUUGCCUGCAAGGGCAUUUGCUGCUUUUCUUUCAUUGAUCAUUGAAGAGAUUUUGCAACAAGUGACCGUUGAAAGGAGCAAUGUCGUUUUAGAUUGUGCAGUUGGUUGCUCUUACAAGUCUAUGCACUUUAGGUGGUGGGUUUCUUACAGGGUUUGCUUUGCCCUUUUGGGACCCAAGAAUCACUGUUAUCUUAGUGAUGAUUGGCUAAAAAUUUGAACAUAAUCCUAAAUUCUGAUUUCUGAUUGGUUGGAUGGAGAAUGAAGGGAUUCUCCCAGUGGAGCCUUCUGGGAUUAUUAUCAAGGGUCCCAUCGAAGUCUGUGUCUGAGUUGAUGAAAUUUGAGUAAGACCCAUUUGCUCCUUUGUCUCUAUUUUCAAUAAUUUCCGAUACAAAUUUAAAGUUCUUGUGUGCGGUCCCCUUCGGUAGCUUUCAACGAUCCCUGUCGUGGUAGCUAUUUGAUUUGCAUGGCAUGGCAGGACGUGAACUUGGGGCUUCAAUGAGAGGCACUGUUUGCUAUGGAAUUUUUUUCCCAUUGUGAAGUUUCAAAUGCAUUACAACCUAGGAAAUUUUGGAUAAUUCAACUAUAUAAUUUUAAAUUUUCAAGAAAUAUCUAUUUAUUGACAUUUUUAUUUGAAUUUUUAAAAGUCGAAAGCAUUUUUUAAAAUAAAUUAACUAGGCUAAGAAAAUACGUUGAUACUAAUUAAUGUAAAGUCGUAUAAGAAAAAGAAUGUCUUUUUUGGUCCAUGAAUUUUGAGAAGCUGUUCAAUUUUGUUUAAAAUUAAGUUUUUAACCCAAUUACUUAAAUAUUUUGAUUUAGAAUAAAAUUAGUAUUUUUUUCAAAAAUAAUAAAAUAAUAAUUUUUAAUAUUAAAUAUUAAUUUUAGGAUUAAAUAGUAUUUUUAAUCAAAAUAGACGUUUUGCCUUUUAAUGUUCUAAUGAACUUAUUUCAUAAUUUUUCUUUAAAAAGAAAAAAGAAAAAAAAAAACAGUACACAGCUUGGUUUAAUAAGCAAAGUUACAUGGGCCGCCUCUUAAAAUUUCUCUAAGGGCUGAGCCAGCCGGGACUAUAUUUUGAGGCCUAUUUACUUGCUGUUUAUGGAAUACACUUUUCCUCUCUGCUGAUAAAUCCUCUGCGGCCAGUCCCGCCACCAGACUUCUGCACGCGCCACAGCUGAAUGAAAUUCGUGGCAACAUGAGAGAAAGCAAACGGCGUGCGACUCCGGCUAAACACUCCCGUCCCAGUUCUCGAAAAAAGCGUAAGCAUUUCGAUGGCGCAGAGCGACAUGAUCACGAAACUGACAGUAAGAGGCAAAAAUUAGUGUUGAGGACCGAAACCCUAACUCUUAAGCCCCACAACUUGUAUCCGAAUUCGCCAACUUCGAAUAGGUUUCGACCAAUUCACGCUUCGUCCUCUCUAAAGCGUAAUAGGAAGCAUUACCAUAGGAGAAGUUCGAGUGUUGGUGAGUGUAAUCGUAGAUGGGUCUUCUCUGGCGACGAUUUCUCUGCUUACAGAGGUACAAGUAGUUAGCUUCGUACAAUUUUUUUUUCUUAAUCUGAGUGUGCUUUUAGUAUGAGUUGGAAUAUUUGAUACAUUUGCUGGAAGUUUCGUGUGCGGAUUCUUUCACUGGUCUGAGUCAUCAGUUUUGUCAUGAGAAAGUAUUUAGAAAAUUUUUGUAAGCUAUAAUUUGUGAACAUUAUAAUGGAAAUAUGGAAAUAUUUCAUUGCUUUAUUUUUUUUAAUUUAUUAUGUAAUUUGUUUGAAGCUGAAAUAUGAGACCGUUUACAUUGAUCGUUGUUCAAUUUCUAAGAAUGUAUCCUUCACUGUAUUUUCAUCAAUAUCAUCUACCAUCUAAAAAAGGUUCAAUGUAUACUAUCUAAUUCUCUUAAAACUCAACAAUCCUGUUUUAUCUGCAUGCCUAUGAGUUUUACCAUCAAACCAACCAAUUCCUACUUGAGACUUUAAACUAGGUCAUGAUAUUUCUGUACUUUUGCCGUACCUGAAUUUGUUUCUGUCACUCUGCAGAUAGGGUCGUUGUUGUGUCAUACAAUGUACUUGGUGUUGAAAAUGCAUUAAAGCACCAAUAUUUGUAUUCUAAAAUCCCACCUGAGUUCUUAGAGUGGGAUAGGCGGAAAGAGCUCAUACGUGAGGAGAUCAAUCAUUAUAAUGCAGGCAUCCUAUGUUUCCAGGCAGGUUAUUGGCUUUAGUUUUGGAUUGCAGAUUAUCUCCCUAUAUAGAUGCAUUUAAAGAAUGGAUAUGCUAUGUGUUUAUAUCUGAAGUCAAAGGUUUCUUAGUGUUUGUGGGAAUAUCAGUUUGUUUUUAGCACCUUUGUAACUUUUCUUUGUUGUUAGCACCUUUGUAACUUUUCAUUGAGAAAGGCAUUCACUGCCUCUAAUUUUUGGUACAUCAGGGAGCAUUAGAUAUGUGCAUGUAAUUUAGUAAACCAAAGUGUAUAACAUCUGUAUACACUCUUUUUGCGUUUGGUUAUUUUAUUUUGUUUUUGGUGCAUAUAAUAUUGUCAUCCUGAAGGUCAUAUGACUUUUAAUUUAAAUAGUUUAUACUUUGAAGUGUGGCUGGAAAUUUUUUCACAGAGUGAACAUGCCACACUCAUCAACUGAGGAUGAUGAUUAAGAAAAAUGAAAAGAUUGAAGGAAAAAGAGACAUCUAGAUGUUCUAAAGUUCUCUGACAUAAAUUCCAUUUCUUUUAGAGUUAUAUUUUUAAUUAACUGUUUUCUUUCUCAUUCUUUUGAAAAUUGAAAUGUUCAAUCAUCUUGCUUUCCCAAGUAUAUUUUCUCAUCUCAAUGAGGUAUUCCUGCUUGAAAUCCUAGUCCUUUCUGCCAAAACCAAAAGUUCAGAUUGUAAGUUGUACCUGGUGUUUCUCUGUUCUUGUGGAUUUCUUUUAUUGAAUCAGAAAUAUCGGAUUCCCAUCUAGAGUUGUGUUCUCAUAAUCCACUUUUCUGGCUUUAGGAGGUUGAUCGUUUCAAUGAUUUAGAUUAUUUUCUUCAAGAGGAUGGCUAUAGAGGAGUUUACAAGGUAUGCUGAAAUGUUGUACAUAUGUAGCUUCUCCAUAUCAGCAAUUAAUUUUAAUUAACCUGGUUUUAAUUAUUACUGUUCGUUUCAGGCCCGCACGGGUGAAGCAUAUGAUGGCUGCGCUAUGUUUUGGAAAGACACAUUGUAAGGUCUUUGAAUUCAAUGAAUUCAAAUGCUAUUUCCUGUCACUGUGCAUUUGCUUGAUAGCCUUUUUUUUUGCUGUCGCUAAAUUUCUCUUGAAUAAUUGUUUUGUCCUUGCUUGUUGGUUUGAUGUCCAUUUUCAAGGUUUAAUACAGAAGAUGAAAAUUAUUGCACUUCUCCUGUUGGACUCAAUGUCCAAAGGCAAUUUGAUGGAUCUGAUGCAUGGUUUGAUUGAGCAUUUUUUUUUCAAUUCUCAUAGAUGCAAGUUACCAUUUCCUGAAUUUGGGUUUCUUCAUCAUGUUUUUCUCUAGUGAUAAAUGUAAAUGCUGAUUACUUUUCUAUUUUAAUUUUCUUCUAUUCAUGUCUAAAUUUUAGCUAGCCAUAUUUUUAAUACAGAUUUACCCUUUUGCAUGAAGAAAAUAUAGAGUUCCAGAGUUUUGGCCUCCGUAACAAUGUUGCUCAACUUUGUGUUUUAGAGGUAUGCAGAUUGUUGAAUUUUCUUUUUCCAUUUGACUUUCUUCCCUUUUUUUUUCUGGUUUCCUUUUUGGCUAUUUUACCUUUUUUGAUUGUUUUAAGUUCUUAAAAAGAUGUGCAAGAAGGUUUCUAUAACUUGGAUGAAGCACCUCUUUUUCUUGUAGCCAAUUUCAUUGUUAGGCAUUCAAUAAAAAACAUAACUCAAGACUACAACUUGUUAACUUACGAAUUGGAUUCCCAUGCCAAGUAGUUACAAAAGUUAGGCAACUGUCAGGAAAUUCAUUCAAGAGUCUAUUUUGUUGCUUAUUUAUUUCAGAGGUUUAUUCCUUGUAAGGUAUUUUCAUCUCCAUGUAUCCUUUUGAUGGCUCUCCUGAGUAACAACAAAGAAUAUGAUAAAUUUUCUUUUCAGAAAUUUUCUUUUUCAGUUCAUUAGAAUAAGUAACUUAAUCUCCUCAUCUCUCCUUCAUUUCAAUUAAAACAAAAUAAAAUAUUUCCUCAUCUCAAAUUGUUAUUUAACCUAAACUGUAAUAUAUGAACUUCAUGUAUGUAAAACAAUUUUCUAUAUCUACUUUUCAGUUGCUGAAUAUUUUUUUUUUGCGGUCAAAUAAGCUACUGAAUAUGAGAAAUAUAUUUAGUAACAGCAAUAUAAUUCUAAUAUUAGAAGUUAAACAUUUUCUCCCUCUGGAGUCUGUUCAUAUAAUUGUUAGAUGGAUAUGUGUUUUAUUUUAUAUAUUAUAAUAAUAAUAUUAUUUGUAUUAAAAGCACAUAUAAGAAAAUUUUAAACCACAGAUACCUAUAAUGAGUAUAAGAAAUGCAAUGUGCAUUUCAAAAUUCUAGUCUAUUCGUUAAUUGCUCCCAAGCAGUUGAGAUUUUUUCAAGGUCACAUGGUUUAUAAUAAUACUACAGAUACAUUGAACCCUUACCUCAAAGUUUUCCAUAAGAAUUGUAGUUCAAAAAAUUUGGGAAGUACAAAAGAAUGAAAUGCACAUAGAGAAUUCAACAGAUGUUGCUUGACUUUUGUAAUUUAAUGUUUCUCAUUUCACAUGAUUGUGUUUAUUGCAUCCUUUUUAUGGUUUUUCUGCAUCCAUUGUUUAAUAUGUUCUCUCUUAUGUUACAUUUAUUAUUUAUGUGUUAUAUUUAGAGAAAUUUACUAUUUAGUCUCUAUAUUAUAGGGAAUCUCACUAGUUGGUCCCUUUAUUUUGAAAAAUGAAUUAAAACAUUUCUGACAUUUUAAAAGGUACACUAAUUAGUCCCUUUGUUAAUUUUAGUCAUUAAAUAUUACAAAAAAGUCUAAAAUGUCCCUGAUAUGGAGUGACUAAUUAGUAGACUUUUUAAAAAUUUGAGGGACCAACUAAUAAGUUUUUCAAAACCAUAAAGACUAAAUAGUAAAAUACUCGACGGUAGUAGAGUUCCAUAAUUUCCAUUAGCAAUUAAACUUCUAAUGUUUGCCACAUUUUUUUUUUUUUUUUUUUUUUACCUUGAUGUAAGCAGAUGAAUGAAAAUCAAAUGUUGUCUGCCCUGUGUGAGCAAUCAUCAAAGUAAGUUCAAAUGUCUAUCAGUAUAUACUAUUCUGUUAUCUUGCUCUUGAGUGUCAUGGAUGUCAACAUCUGAUACAGAAUCAGAAGAAUAAUGAUUAGGACAAAGUAAAGAUAAAAAUGAAGCAUUAACAUUGUUAAUUUCAGGAGUUAACUUCUCUUAAAAUAACAGUCCCUUCAUACUUUUAAAAUUGUUUUGUUCUCGGGGGACAGUGCUAAUUAUCUUUUGUUUUUGUUCUUUAAAUCAUGUAAAUGAUUUUGCUGAUGACAAUAUUAAAUCAUAAAUCAUAUGGACAGGGCAACAGCUACCCAAAGUCGAAGAUUAGUGGUUGGCAAUGUGCAUGUUCUUUUUAACCCGAACCGUGGAGAUAUCAAGCUUGGUCAGGUAUUCACUUUUUUGCUGCUUCACUUUUUCUAAAGCAGGCCACAUUCUCUUUUGGAUCACUAAAAUCUGUAGCAAGCAUUCUUUUUUGUGUAUAUGCUACACACGCAUGCAGGUUUGUGCCUUUUCUCGUUUUACGUUUUUAUGGAUUAAUUUGGGGACAAUUUUAUGUAAAGGAGGCUCUUAGUGACUUAAAUGAUGCUAAAAUUUCUUUCCUAUCAAUAAUAAUGUUUUUAAUUGUUGACCAACAUAAAAGGUUCCUAAUUAGGAGGAUUGAGAUCUUUGGGAUCUUAACUAAGUUUGAUUGUAGUGAUUUUAUUCUUAUCGUAAAUAUUUCUAAUUUAGGUUGAUUGUGUGUAUAAAUAUUGAAAUAGAAUAAAAAAAUCUUUGUGGUGUCAGAGCGAUGUUGAGCCCCUCAUAAAUAUGUCACGCUCCAGUAUAGUUCUGGGCACGAGGGAUGUGUUGGAUCCCACGUCGGUUUGAGAUAAGGGUAAUGAACCUCUUAUAAGGGUCUUAGGCACUCAUUCCCUUGAAUUAGCUUUUGGGGUGAGUUAAGUCUGACUCAAAUUUAAUAUGGUAUCAAAAUCUUGCCACUUUAAUUGGUAUAGGUUUCAAAUCUAAUAUAAAAAGUUAGGAUUAAUUAAUAAGUCAAGUUUCUAGGCGACUAUAUGAAGGGAGUUGUUUCACACCACCUGUUUCGAAGGAAAGCCCAUCACAUUUCUAGCGGAUCCCUGGCAACGUGACCCCGCUCCAAGCAUGCACGUGUCCUCAUGCGCUGCCACAGCUUUUGUGUCUCCUUCCACGCGCCAGCGCGUGAGCCUUCCUCCGACUUCCUUUUCCAUCAGCGCUCCUUUCCGGCAUGUCACGACUAUGAUUGGUCCUGUUCCGUGACCGUAUUCUCCUUUGGGUUUUUCAAGGUGUUUUAACAGUAACUUAAUCGUUUUUGCCUCUGUGUUGCUAGCCCUUUUUCCUUUAAAAUGUAAGGCACUAACAGAGGUGAUGUACGUGUUUUUGAUACUGCUUCAUGGAUUAUUGAUUAUGAUACAAAUAGACACAUGAUGGGUUCCUCUAACAACUUCCUUAAUUACUUUCCAUUUCUACAAAAGGACAUAGUCAGAAUAGCCGAUAGCUCUUUUAUUCUCAUCUCUGGAACCAGAUCGAUUGUUUGUUCUUCCAAUAUUAAGCUAUCCUCUGUUCUCCAUGUUCUUCAUUUUCCUGUUAAUCUUUUAUCUGUCAGUGUUUUUACCAAAUCACUUAACUGUAAAAUUGAGUUUUUUUUUUCUAAUCAUUGUGUUAUUCUGGACCUUUAAACUAGGAAGAGGAUUGAAUAUGGUAGACUGUCGUUUUUGAAACCAGAUCGAUUAUUUGUUCUUCCAAUAUUAAGCUAUCCUCUAUUCUCCAUGUUAUUCAUUUUCCUGUUAAUCUUUUAUCUGUCAGUGUUUUUUAUCAAAUCACUUAACUAUAAAAUUGAGUUUUUUUUUUUUUUUUUAAUUAUUGUGUUAUUCAGGACUUUAAACUAGGAAGAGGAUUGAAUAUGGUAGAUUGCAUAAUAGCUUAUAUAUAUCAGGAGAGAAUCUGGGUUUGAAUUCACUUCAGGCUCUUUUUGGAAAAAAUCAGGAUGUUAACUAGGAAAUCAUACAGUGGCAUCGAUGGUUAGGACACCCAUCCUUCUUUGUUUUAGAGAAAUUUUAUUUUUUAAGGCUCAAUAUGGUUCUUUAGUUUGUGAUACUUGUGAGUAUGAUAAGCAUACAAGAAUCUCUUCUUUCUAGUAACAAUAGGAGUACGAUCCCUUUUGUGAUUAUCUAUUUUGACGUAUCCAUUCUGACGUUUGGAGACUUACUCAAAUGGUCUUACUAUCUGGUAAUCGUUGGUUUGUUACUUUUAUUGAUUGUUGCACUCGUACGACUUGGGUUUAUUUGAUAAAAGCAAAGAAUGAUGUGUUUUCUUGCUUUCAAUCUUUUCACAAAAUGGUUUGUACUUAAUUUGAGACUAAGAUAAAAGUUUUAAGAACUGAUAAUGGCACAAAGUACAUGGAUGGACGUUUUUUUGCUUAUCUGAUUACACUAGUGUUCAAAAUGGUGUUACUAAAGUAAAAAAUAGGCACCUGUUAGUAGUAGUUUGAUUUCUCCUUUUUUACUGUGGAGCUUUCAAAAACCUAUUAAAAAAAUGCAGUUUUAGCUGUAGUUUAUCUCAUUAAUAGAAUGUCUAUCAAAGCUCUUACCUUUAAAAGCCCUUUAGAGGUACUAUAAUGGAAACAUGCUUAUAUUGUUCCACCAAAGAUAUUUGGAUGCAUGUGUUUUAUUCAUACUAGGAUAGGUGGAAAGCUCGAUCCGAGAGCUCUUCAAUGUGUGUUUAUUGGGUACUUUCCUAUACAGAAGGGUUACAAGUGUUACCGCCUUGCAUCUCGAAAAUACCUUGUAGUAUGGAUGUUAUAUUUAGAGAGACUGAACCUUAUUUCAGUACUACUCCACCUCUGGGAGAAUAAUGAGAGAGAAGAGGUAAUUCUAGAGGAGACUACUAUAAGGGGAGACUAAUGGUGAUCAGGAAGAGAUAAUAAUUGGGCAUUUGGAUAAACCAUAUUUAAAGAGAUACUCAAGAAAAGACAAUAGAAGCAGAAACAACCAUUGUGCAGUCUACUCAGUGUCGUGAAUCUUCUUCUUUUCAUCUGGUGAGUCAUCUCUAAACUUUGAGCUCAUUGAUGAUUUAGAGGUUGAUAGGCCAAACUAGUUGCCAAGGGAUACACUCAAACCUAUGGAGUGAAUGACUAGGAGAUAUUUGCUCCUGUUGCCAAAAUGAACUCAAUCAGAGUAUUGCUAUUUUGCGCUGCCAAUCUUGACUGGGACCUACAACAAUUUGAUGCGAAAAAUGCAAUGGAGACUUGGAGGAAGAAGUAUAUAUGAAAACUCCUCAUGGAUUUGCUGAUGAAAAAAUACAAAGAUGUGCAGGUUAAAGCAGACUUUGUAUGAGUUGAAGCAGUCACCCAAAGCUUGGUUUGAUCAAUUCAGCACGAGUUAUGAUUUCCUUUAGUUAUUAAUAGAGCAAUACUGACCAUACUUUAUUUAUCAGAUAUCACAAAGGUAAAAUCACUCUUCUCAUAGUUUAUGUUGAUGAUGACAUAGUAAUGAUAGGGGAUGUCACUGAAGAGAUGACUUGGCUGAAGAAGCUUUUGAUUCAUAAGUUUGAAAUUAAUGAUUUAGGAAAAUUUCAAUAUUUCCUGAAAAUCGAGGUUGUCAGAUCAAAGAAGUGAAUCUUUAUUUUUCAGAGAAAAUACAUUCUGUAUAUUUUAGAAUAAACUGGUAUGUUACCUACAAACCAACAGAAACUCCUAUUGAGAGCAAUCACAAACUACAAGCAGGGAUUGGUGAAUCAGUGGAUAUUGGCAGAUAUUAGAGGUUGAUAGGUAGAUUGAUUUAUUUUUCGCAUACUCGACCAGACAUAGCAUAUGCAGUCAGCUUAGUCAGUCAGUUUAUACAUGAUCCCCGUAAAUCUCAUAUGCAAGCUGUUUUUUGCAUUUUGCGUUACUUGAAGUAUGCUCCUUAAAAAGGUCUCGUAUUCUCUAAACACUGUCAUCUCCUCAUACACGCAUUCACAGGUACACAUUGGGCUAGAUCCCUUGAUGAUAGGAGAUCGACUAGUGAUUGCACACUUGUAGGAGGAAAACUUGUCACUUGGAGAAGCAAAAAUCAAAGUGUUGUUGUUUGAUCAAGUGCUGAGGUGAAGUAUAGAGCAAUGACACUACAAGGUGUUUGUGAACUCCUAUGGAUGCAGAGAUUGUUGGAGGAAUUGAAACUGAUGGAGAGGGACAAACUCCUCUUGUACUGUGACAACAAAGCUGCUAUCGCUCACAAUCCAGUUCAACAUGACCGAACAAAGCGUAUAGAGAUUGACCGACACUUUUAUUAAAGAGAAAUUAAUAAAUAGUGUCUUGAAAUUAGAUUAUGCAACUUCCGAUGAACAGCUAGAUGAUGUGUUUAUCAAAGGGCUCAGCAUUAAGAUCUAUCAUACCUUAGUUUGCAAGUUGGACACGUGUGAUAUCUAUGCGGGGAGUAUUAUCAACAUAAAAAGUUCCUAAUCAGGAGGAUUGAGAUCUUUGGGAUCCUAAUUAGGCUUGAUUAUAGGUUUUUAUUCUUAUUGUAAAUAUUUCUAAUUUAGGUUAAUUCUUUAUAUAUAAAUACUCAAAUUUUGAAAAUAUCAUUUUAAUUGGAAUAAAAUCAAAAAAUUUUCCCAAAAAUCUUCACUAAUAUCACCAAUGCAUUAAUGUUCUAAUGUAGGUUCGGCUAUUUCUUGAGAGAGCUUACAAGUUAUCACAAGAAUGGGGCAGCAUUCCUGUUAUAAUUGGUGGAGAUUUAAAUAGCCUUCCUCAGGUGAAGUCUUAUAAUGCAAUUAUUAAGUGAAUAGCUGUAGAUUAUUUGCGUUCUCUGCUAUAAAUCUCAAGCAAUCUCUUAACUUUUGUUUCCCCCUCUCUUCUCAUGGUUAGAGUGCCAUAUACCAGUUUUUGGCUUCGUCUGAGGUGAGCUUUUCUUAUUGUUUAACAUCAAAAUUGUAGAUUUUUUACUUUUCCUCAGCAUUUGUUAUGAUUUGCACUUAUCAAGAUUAUAGAAUUUUUUCCCCUUUCUUCAGCGUUCACUUUGAUUUGCACUAACCUAAGACCAUUCAUUUUUCCCCUUUUUUGUUGGUUGGACUUUUGGUAGCUGGACAUCCUAGUUCAUGACCGCAGAAACAUUUCUGGACAGCUUGAAUACCGACCACAGCACAAAUAUUUCAGAUCCCAGGAUGAGAAUGUGAAGAGGUUACACAUGCAUACAAUUUUUUAAAAGUAUUUUUGAAGCUUGUUUAUUGCGAAAAUAUCAAUAAAGUUGUAAUUAUUUUCGGAUAUUGAUUAUUAGAUUUUUAAAUUGUUGAUGUCUUAGGUAGAGAUAAAGAUGAAACUGUCUCUCAUAGGCUUGUGAUAAAGGUGAAACUGUCUCUCAUAGGCUUGUGAUAAAGGUGAAACUGUCUAUGGAUAAGCAUUAGGGUUCAAUUUCAACAAUGUUCUCUCCCCAUCUAUCUAUCACCAAGACUGGCAUGUUUUUAACCUAAAGAGGAGAGGGAGUGAGAGAGAUAUAGAAAGGGGGAAUGAUCCUUUGUUGAAGGCUUAAAAAUGAGACUAUCUUUAAGGCCCCUACACCUGAUAAAUUAUGGUGUUUCUGGUACCCCUUAAAUUACCAUCUGCAGUAUCAGAUUGCAGAAGGUUGUGUGACUCAAUUUAACCACGGUUUUUUUGGAUGCAGAAAUAGCAUGUCCAACUUAAGGCCAUUAAUGCAUGUAUGGAGCGAUGAAGAAUUAAUUCUUGCUACUGGCAGCAAAGAAGUCACUCAUCUCCGUCACCAAUUAAAGCUCUGUAGUGCAUAUCUUGGGAUUCCAGUAAGUUUAUGAUGUAUCUAUGGAUUUAACGUUUUUUGAGAUCUAAUAUUCUUGGUAUGCUUAGAUUUGCAACUGCUUUAGAUAUAUAUAUAUAUAUAUAUAUGUUAUACGCACCUUAAACUUAUUAUUACUAACUAGAUUCGAUAUGGAUGCCCUUGUCUAACAAGGGUUGUCAAACAUAUGACUACGAGAGCGUUUGGUUUACCCUUUUGAUCCAGCUUAUAACUGAUUAGCUCCCAAAUAGCUAAAUUGUAAUUGGUAAAUCUUAAAAAUGGGUAGCUGAUAACUGAUAGGUAGCUUAUUAAUUACUUUUUCAAUCAGUUUUAAUUUGAGUUUUUUCUCAUACGCUAAUAGCUAAUGAAACUUUAUAUUUUAUUUAGAUCAGAUUACCCUUUUUAGUAUAUAUUAAUUAUCAAUUUUUCAUAUUAACAUAAAUUUCUAUAUGUAUUAAUAAAGUAUUUAUAAUUAUAAAAUAAAUAUCAUGCAUAAAAAAUAAAAUUUAUUUUAUUAAUAAUCAUAUUUUUAAAUCUUUUAAAGACUAUAUGAUAAAUUAUUAAUUUAAUGUGUAUUUUAAUAAUAAAUAAAUCAUAUAUAAGCAGUAACAACGAAACCUUAUUUAUCAAAUGCUUUGAAUGUUUUAGCUGCAAUUAGCAAACAAUUAUCAGUCACCAACGAGUUAUCGGCUAUCAACUAUAUCUAACAAUUAAACUAAACAAGCCCUAUACCUUGUAGUCCUUUUUAUGAUACUGAAAAAUAGGUUACAAUUUAGGCAUGACCUGCUGUCUAUAUUCGUUUGGAUCAAUUUAAGAAUUUAUUCUUUUUUUGUAGUUAAAAACUAGUGAUUUUGAUUUUGUCUCUCUUGUUUAAUUUAACACGGUCAACUUCUUCAGGGAAGUCAUAGAUCAAGAGACAAUUAUGGAGAACCAUUAGCGACAUCAUACCACUCCAAGUUUAUGGGAACUGUGGAUUACAUUUGGUAGUAUGCUUACACAUAUUAACAUGCAAAAUGCAUUUGGUGGCAAAAUUUUUUUAGUGCUGAUUUCAUUAAUUGACGCAGGCACACAGAGGAACUCAUUCCUGUCAGAGUUCUUGAAACCUUACCCGUUGAUAUUUUGAGAAGAUGUGCAGGGCUUCCUAAUGAGGUGCCAUAGAUUUUCAUAAAUGAAUUCUGUUGAUAUUUUUCUUUUGAAUUUCUGAUGUUUUAUUGGUGCUUUCAACAAAUCUGAAUGACCUAACAACCAGAUAUGUUUUUUCUGUUCUAAGCACAAAAAAUUGCAGCCUGUGUAAUUGAUUCCUUGUCAGAAUUUGGCCAUGAUUAAUGCUAUUCUUCUUAUUGUCUUUUCUGAUUUUGUUAUUAACAAAUUUAUGUUCUUCAUCUGAUCUGACAUACAUAAUUUUUAUCCCAAAAUACAUUUUUAUUACAUGGAUAAUAACUCAUUAUUAUAGAAUUAUCUUGCUAAAUUUUAGAUUCUGUGCAUCCUUAAACAAUUUCUGUCAUUUUGCAGAAAUGGGGAAGUGAUCAUCUUGCUCUUGUAUGUGAACUAGCCUUUGCAGACAAAGAGAACAGAACCUGAGUCUUCAACCAAAUUCAAGUCCUUCGCAGGAAUGCAGACAUCAUAAACUGUUCAGCUUCUUUUUUUUAAAUUUUUGGGCAUCCAAAGUUUAUUAAUUUAAUUAUAUUUUAGAUAAUUAGCUGCUACCUUUUGUGAUAGGCUCUGCAACUCUCUAAUAAGAACCCACAGAAUUAAUGUUUAAAGCGUGCUGGAUUGUCAAAUACACUGAAUCCAAGAAUCCUUAAUAAACCAUGAACAAAAUCUCAUUCCACCCUCAUAUAAAUGAGAAGAGAACCCAUCUCCCUAACUUCUUUGGUUACUGAGAACUUCAUCACAUAUAUACUGCAAAGUGAGUUUUUCAAAAGAAAUCAAAUAAUGGACAAAAGAAUAAAUAAAUGCCGGUGAAUAUUACUCAAGCAUGGCAUCUGGGUUGAAGUUCAAAGAUUUUACAAAUAUAAGCUCUCCUUUAUGUCUCCUUCGUUUAACGAAAUUUGCUCAAAAUCAAAAAUAAAAGGAGACAGACAAGUGGGUUCCUUGAUCUCAUGAAGACUUGAUAAAUAUGGAUGGUUCAAUGCUUCCUCAACUUCACGUAACAUAAGAAAAUGUGAUGUAGGCAGAAGAAGAUGAAGAGGAUAAAUAGAAUAAGCGUUUUGAUGGGUGUUUAUGCAAUUUAAAUUAUUUAUCUUUUAUUUUUAACAAAUUUUAAGAUAUCUAAGUGUUUAGUUUUAAAAAUAAAGGAAUUUAUUCAUUAAUCAUGUCAAAAUUUAAAGACUAAAAUAUAAUUUAUUAUAUUAUUUAUAUUAAAUUAAUAAGUCUCACAUUUAAAUUUUAAAAUAAUAUCAAAUAUCAAUAAUAUAAUAUAAUAUUUUUACUUAAAAUAUAUGAAAAAUACUGAAUAAUUAAAUAUAAUAUAGUUUUUUCAAAAGAAGAUAAAAGUAAAAAAGUUAGUGAUAGAGUUUUAAAAAAUUUUAUUGCAAUAUUUUUAUAAAAAAUAAAUUCUAACUAAACCAACAUUAAUUAUUUUGUAAAUUUAUUUAAUUUUCUUUAUUUUUUAUAAUAAAAUUACAUAAUUUUAUCUAAAACUACAUAAUAUCUAAAAUUAUAUAGUUUAACUGAAUAUUUUUUUAAAAUAGUUACAAUUAUUUUAACUUAAUUUAUUUUUAAUUUUAUUAAAUUAUAUUUUAUUACUAUAUAUAUAAUUUAGUUAACAAUUAUACAUAUGUAAUUCAUGNNNNNNNNNNNNNNNNNNNNNNNNNNNNNNNNNNNNNNNNNNNNNNNNNNNNNNNNNNNNNNNNNNNNNNNNNNNNNNNNNNNNNNNNNNNNNNNNNNNNNNNNNNNNNNNNNNNNNNNNNNNNNNNNNNNNNNNNNNNNNNNNNNNNNNNNNNNNNNNNNNNNNNNNNNNNNNNNNNNNNNNNNNNNNNNNNNNNNNNNNNNNNNNNNNNNNNNNNNNNNNNNNNNNNNNNNNNNNNNNNNNNNNNNNNNNNNNNNNNNNNNNNNNNNNNNNNNNNNNNNNNNNNNNNNNNNNNNNNNNNNNNNNNNNNNNNNNNNNNNNNNNNNNNNNNNNNNNNNNNNNNNNNNNNNNNNNNNNNNNNNNNNNNNNNNNNNNNNNNNNNNNNNNNNNNNNNNNNNNNNNNNNNNNNNNNNNNNNNNNNNNNNNNNNNNNNNNNNNNNNNNNNNNNNNNNNNNNNNNNNNNNNNNNNNNNNNNNNNNNNNNNNNNNNNNNAAUAAUAAUAAUAAAUAUUUAAUAAUUAAAUAAUAUUACAAUUAUAUAUAAAUAAUUUUAGUACAAUUAUAUGAUAUAUAAAAUAUAUUAUUAAAAUUAUAAUAUUAUUAUAAAUUAUUUAAAAAUAUAUAUAAAUUAAUUUUUUGAUACGAUUUUAAUUUAAUAUCAAUCUAAUAUAAAAAAAUUAAAAUUAAAAUUAAAUAUUUAAAUAAAUUUAAUUUAUACAAUUCGAUCUAAUAUCAUUAAUUUUUUAAAAUUUUAAUUCGAUUCGAUAUGGAUUUUUAUUCCGAUCGAGACCUCAGCAACCGUGAACAGAUUUAUCUGCCAAACCAAAAGCAUUGUCAAUAUAUAUAUAUAAAGUCCACUGUUUUGAUAUAUUUACUUCUUACAAAGCUUCUCUUUUUGUUUCCUAGAAAAGUAAAAUUUGUCCUUUUUCUUAACGAAAAGAAAUUAACGCAACUCAGCCAAAAAUUAAAUUUUGUGGUUUUUUUAAUUGAAAAUUAGAGAUUAAAGAUAUAAAAUUUAAAAUUUUAAAAAAUAAGUUAAAUGAUUUUCUUAACUCAGCUGCUUAACAAUGAUUUAAUAGCUAAUCUCUUUAAAUAAAGAUUUGUUUUCCAUUCUACACAUGGAAAAUUCAGAAAUUAAAAGGAUUUAGACAAUUCUACACAAAGACCAAAUCCCUUUUGGUUGAAGAAAAGUGGGGCAAAAGGAAAUCAUGAGAAAAGACACCACAAUCCCUCAUAAGUCAAAUUAGGUGUUCAACAUUUUCUAACUACUGCUAAAAGAAGAGGCGUUGGGACUAGGCGACUAGUAUUCAAGUUGAAUAGAAAAAUUGAUUGAAUUGAAUUAAUUUAAAUUUUUAGUUUAAUUUUUUAUUUAUUUUAAUUUGAUUUAAUUUUUAAUUUUAAAAAUUUUAAUUAUUUUAAUUCAAUUUAAUUUUAAUUAAAAAAAAUUAAAUUAAUAUUUUAUUUUUAAUAAUAUAGAUAGAUUAAAUUAUAUUAAAGUUAAAAUAUUUUAAUUAAAUUUUAAAAUAUUAAAAAUAAAAUAUUAAAAAUUAUUAAAAAUUUAAACUGAUGAAAUUAAAUUAAAUCAGAUUAAUUUAAUUUAAUUUAAUUUAAUUUAAUUUAAUUUUUAAUUAAAAUUAAUUUAAUUUAAUUUUUAUAAAUAUUAAAAUUUUAAUUUUUAAUUUAUUUAAUUCGAUUCUAAAUUAAAUUAAUUAAACGUUGAACGACUUAUGGGGGCAAAAUUCAGUUCGGCCGAAAACUUUUACACGCUAGGAAAUAAGACUUUCUCUUUGUUGGAGAAAUGCUAAAUUAUCUCUUUUAAUUUAUUAAUUUUUUUCUUUUUUGUUAUUGGUGUUGAAACCCAUUUUAGGAUGAAGUUGCUGUUAGUGAUAAGUGAUGUUAAUGUCCAGAAGCAAAGGAUGACUCCUAAAUUAGUGGCAGAGAGGAUUGCUAUCUUGAAUUCAGACAUCUUGAUAUUUUGACCUGACUUGACCCUUCUUCGCACGGCGGCUUUUAUAAUUCAAAAUUAAAUUGAAUUAAUAAAUUAAAAAUUAAAAUUUUAAUAUUUAUAAAAAUUAAAUCGAAUCGGUUUUAAUUAGAAAUUAAAUUCAACUGAACCAAUUUGAUUCGAUUUGAUUCAAUUCAAUUUAAUCAAUUUAAAUUUUUAAUAUUUUUUUAUUUUUUACUCUUUAUUUUUAAUAUUUUAAAAUUUAAUUAAAAUAUUUUAAUUUUAAUAUAAUCUAAUCUCUUUACAUUAUUAAAAAUAAUAUAUAAUUAUCACUAAAUCAAUUCGGUUCGUUUUUUUUAUUUUUUUAUUAAAAUCAAAUUAAAUUAAAAUUUUUAAAAUUAAAAAUUAAACCGAAUCGAAAUAAAUAAAAAAUAAAGUUAAAAUUUUAAAUUAUAUUUAAUUCGAUUGAUUUUUUCGAUUUAAAUCAAAUAUGCUCGGCCUCUAGUUUUACUAUAUUUUAGCUAUACUCAUCUUAGCUAUACUCAUCUUAAAGUAAUAAAAUAUGUCUUUAAAUAUUAACAUAUAAUAAAAAGAGAAAUAUAUAGAUUAAUAUUAUAAUUAUUCAAUUAAAAAGAAAUUAUUGAGAGUUAGGUAACUUAAUAUUAUUUAAUUUUUAAAAUUUAAAAAAUAAAAAAUAUAUAAAUAUAUAUUAAAAAAUUUAGUGAAAAUUCAAGAUAAUAUUCCUUAUAUUAUGAUUAAAAGAGUAUUUAGAACUGUUUCCAUCAAAGAAUAUUUAUAGUGUUGCUUAAUAUUUACUAUUUUAUAUCAAGAAUAUAUUUAUUAUAAAUAUACUAAAUUUAUUCCAUUGAAUUAACUUGUUUUUCAUUAUAAAUUUAAAAUUAAAUUAUAAAUAACUGUAUUUCAUGAUCAUUAUAUUAUAAUUUUAAAUAGUAUUAUUUUUAAGAAAAUUUAUAAUUAAAAUUAAUAUAAAUAUUUGAACAAAUUAUAAAUUAUCUAAACAAUUAAUUUUUUUCUCUAAUAACCCUUUUUUUUUCUUAAUUUAGAAAUCAAAAUUCUAAAUGUCAUCUCACAAGUUUCGCCGAAUAGAGGUGAGCAGUAUUCGGUUCAAAUCGAAAAAAUUGAUCGAAUCGAAUUGAUUUAAAAUUUUGAUUCAGUUUUUUAUAUAUUUCGGUUCGGUUCGGUUUUUAAUUUCAGAAAUUUCAGUUAUUUUGGUUCGGUUCGGUUUUAAUCAGAAAAAAACUAAAAUAACCGAACCGAUUAGUGAUAAUAAUAUAUUUUUUCAAUAAUAUAGAGAAAUUAAAUCAUAUUAAGAUUAAAAUAUUUUAAUUAAAUUUUAAAAUAUUAAAAAUAAAGUGUAAAAAAUAAAAAAAUUAUUAAAAAUCGAAACCGAUCAAACCGAACCGAAUCGAACCGAAUCAUACCGGUUCGAUUCGAUUCGGUUUCUGACCAAAAUCGGUUUGGUUUAGUUUUUAUAAACACUAAAAUUUCGAUUUUCGAUUUAUUCGGUUCGACCCCUAACUCCGAAUACAUUGGAGGCCAAGGCAUCUCUAGCCCAGUCCCUCCCUUCCUCCCCUACAGCCGAGGUGUCAGUUACCCUAGAGUUAUUCUUUUUGGAGACUUCUCAUUGGCAUAUAGAAACUGGAGGUGUGAUGCAGAAAGAAAGUGAAAAAGAAGAGAGCUAAUUUGAUAAAAUGAAAUGUGAGAAAGCCACAUUUAACCAAACAUAUUGAAAAGUGUGUGGUUUGCUUGAAAAACAAGUGAGCUCAUCAUCAGCCGCCAACUCAAUUAUUCAAUUCUUCUGCUAAUUUCUUUUAUAUUAUCAUCAACCCUUUUGCUUCGAAUCUCUCCUCUAUAUAAUACACAAUCUCACUUUUAAAAUCACUAUCCACUAUUGCCUAACUAAAGCAAAUAAUGCUUUCCCAUUUCUUCUUUUGCUUUUUGUUAAAAUUUAUUUUUAAACUCUUGCUUUUCUGAGUGAGUAUUCAGUUGAUUCGAUUUAAAAUUUAAUCUAAUUAAAUAAAUUAAAAAUAAAAAUUUUAAUAUUUUUAAAAAUCAAACUGAAUUAAUUUUAAAUAGAAUUUAAUUUGAAUCAAAUCGAUUUGAUUCUAUUUGAUUCUGUUCGAUUUGAUUUUAUUAAUUUUGUAUCCAUUAAACUGAACUAAAACUUUUCCACAUGGAAUCAAAAAAAAAAUACACAGAUUUUAUUAAUUUUGUAUUUUUAUAUUACAAUUAAAUAAUAAAAAUGAAUUACUUUCUUGAAAUAUUUCUUUAGGAAAAAUAUUUUAUAAGUUUUUUUUUUUAAAUGGAGCCUAAGUAAGUAAUUUUUUUUUCUUUUAUCAUUAAAUAAGUAUUCAUUGAGAUUAAAUUGAAGAGUUGGAGAGCUUCAAAUAGGAAUUCAAUAGACAAAACAUUUCAUUUUAGGGUAGCAUUCAUCUAGGCUAGGAAUGAAAAUUAGUUUGGUAUUUGAGUACCGAACGGGUUUAGGUGAAUUUGAGUUUUAUCCAUAAACAAUUAUGUUUAUAUAAAUAAUUAAGUUAAUAAAUAAUAUAUAUUAUAUUAUCAUAUUUAUAAAUUUUCUCCAUAUUUUUAUUUAAAAAUUAAAAUUUAAAUAUUUUUAUAGAAGAAAAUAGGAGUCGCAAGUUUCCCUCUAUGGCCUCUUUAUGGUUCGAUACUCUCGCUUUUUUCUCUUUUUUAAACCUAAAUUCUUCUUUCCUCUUUCCCGUAAAAGACGAUUUAUAUCAAUUGACUAUCGAUAAAGAAGAAGACGUUGUUGUUCCUAUUAAGAGUUCUAAAGAUAUUCUGAUCGUCACUUAUGAUUUUUAUAUGGUGGGGAUGUUUCUCACAUAAAAUUCAAUCAAUUUUUAGAAUAUGUAGGCCUCUUUGACAGAUUUAUGGUAGCAAUCAUCGAACAGUUAUUGCAUUAAAAAUUUUAGUUCUUACUUACAAUGCAGAUAUUUUAUUUUUGAUGGAAAUAAAAGCCCUUAGUUCUUGUAUGAAAUUUUUUCAUAAUUUUUUACAUUUUAAUAGUUGCUUCUCAAUCAAUAGACAAGGAUUGAGUCUAUGGUUAACUUUUUUUCAAAUUUUAUUGAUUCGAUUGUUUCUAAAUAUAAUGUUCAAUGGAGGUUUACUAGUUAUUAUGGGUUUCCGGAAUCGCAACCACGACGUCAAUCUUGGAACUUUAUUCGAGGUUUAUCUCGUAAAACCUCUUUUCCGUGCCUUUGUUCGGAAAAUUUUAAUGAUUUAUACUUGAGAGAUAAGAAAGAAAAAGUAUGUUUACCAAAUUAUCUUAUGCAACAGGCACUGACAUUUCUAUUAGAUGGAUUCGUCGUAAUACUAAUACUUUAGCCAAAGAAUGUAUCAGGCAUAAUCGUCUCUCUGUUUGGGAUGAUAUCCCUCUUUAUUUAAUAGAAUUUUAUUAAUACAAUCAAUAAUUUUAUUUUUAAAAAAAUAUAUUUUUAUAUAAAUAUUGAUUUUAAAUUAAAAAAUUAUUAAUAAAAAUAUCUUUUAUAUAAAUAAUUUUUUAAAAUAAAUAUAAUCAAAUUUGAAUCUCAUUUAAAUUUUGAGAUCUAUUCGAAUAUUAAUAAUAUUAUCGAAUUCAAAUUUAAAUAGAGUAAUUUUGACAAGUAAUCAACCCUAUUACAUUCAUAAUCUAAAGAUAUAGAUAAAAAAAUAUGGCGGGAAAGCUCCAACUAAAUAAAUCAUAAUAAAAAAUAAAAAAUAAAUAAAAAACAGACAAAAAUGAAAAGAGAAGAUGCCACCUUCCAAGUACUUUCCACAGCAUCAAACACAUGACACAAGAAACAACCUUAGAGUUCGAAGAUUUGUCCAUGUUUGAAUAUUCUUAUCCCCAAUGUGCCAAAUAGAAUUAAUUUUAAAUUUUAUGAUAUAUUUAAAUCAGAUUUAAUUUUUUUUAUCGUCUGAUUGAAACUCAUAAUAAUUUUUUAAAAAAUACAAACUCAUAAUAAUUUUUCAAAAACAUAUAAAUUUAAAAACAUGUGAUGAAAGCUGCAUGUCUAUUAUAAAAUUCAAAACCAAAAUUUCACCAUUUAAAAAUUAAUUUUAUAUUUUAAUUAUUUUUUUAAAUAUUUUUUAAAAUUUUAAAUAUUAUUUUUUUUCUAUUAUAAAUAAUCUUCCCUUAAUUAUUUGAAACACACUAUUCCAUCUUUUAAAAAUUUUUGCAUUCUAACCUAUCAAUUUUAUAUUUUAAUUAUUUUUUUAAUAUUUUUAUAAUUUUAUAUAUUAAAUUUUUUUCUAUUAUAAAUAGUCUUUUUCUAAUUAUUUGAAAUUCAAUAUUCAAUAUUUUAAGAAUUUCAAUAAAAAUUUUUACCUUCUCUUAAUUAUUUUAUAUCUAUCGUCUUAAUUAAAUAAUAUUUCAUUAAAAUUUUUCAUCUUAAUUAAAUGAUAUUUCAUUAAAAUUCCUCAUAAAAUCUAAUCAGUCUUUUUUACAUAUCGUGUAUUUCUAAAUGGUUUGAUUUUCCUUUCCUAACUCUAAAUAGUCGUCGAUAAAAAGAAAACAAAUGCUUCUACCAUAUAUCAGCCAAACCUAACAGAGUUCCCAUAUAAUAAAUUACUCAUAUAAGUCUUUAAUAUUACAGAGAGUAUGCAAAAAUCUUGGGUGGCCAUGAAAAUCCCACAAAAUCUUUAAAUUAAAGAACUCCAAGAACUCUCUUUCCCACCUAACAAACACAAAACGAUAACAACUUCAAUAUCUCUCUUCACCAAUGUAUUGUAAAAACAAAAGACCAAAGCCUCCUAUAAUUCCUAACUGCAAAACUUAUGGGCAUGUGAAAUUCAAAGAUUCCUCAACAAAAGCAAGAGUCUCGAGCUCAAUAUCUGGAAGAUCCAUCACACCUUCCAUAGGAAAAAAAUCGACCACCUCCAUUGAAAAAUCUUCUGCAUUAUUGACAUUGUUAAGAAAUUUCCCAAGCUCUGAGCAAUAAUCACCACUCAGCAGCUCUUGGCUUAUUGAAGGAGACAGUGCAGGCUCCUCCCAUAAAUCCAAAACAGAUUGUCUUUCUUCCACCAUUUUCAACUCUGAGAUUUCUUCAUGUGUCUUCUCUUCAUUGUUCUCUUCUUUGAUUGGAGCUUCAAUUCCAUGGCUAAGUGAUGUUCUUGUAGGCACAUCAAGCACAGAAGAUGGUGAUGGAUAAGAGAACAAACCACUUGAUUCUUCGGAUUCGAGUUUCGUAUUAAUUGACAAUUUCUUAAGCUUUCUUGCUUCCAUCAUCAUCUCAAACUCCUGCUUCUUUUUCCUAUAUGCAGCAGCAGCCUCUUCAGCAGUUGUGUAAGUGCCAAGCCAUAAUCGAACCUUUCGAAACGGAUCUCUAAUCUCAGCUGAAAACUUCCCCCAUGGCCUUCGUCGAACACCUUUGUAGUUAGAUGACAAAAUUCUAGUUUUCUUCUGGUUAGAAUUACUUGUGAUUUUGCCUCUAUUGGUAUUGUUUUCUUGUGAAGAAUUCUCAGCAGUUGAUUCAUGUGGAGGAAGAGAGAUUUUAAUCUCUCUCACAAAAAGCUUAGAACCCAUCAAUCUGUUGCUCCUCUCAUUUUGGCCUUCAUCUUCAUCACUUGAGGAGUCUGUGGCCUCAGGAUCAUGGCAGAUGAUGCGAAUUUUCUUUGUCGACAGCAAAUGGCUUGGUUGCUUCUUCUCUUCUUUACCAAAACUCAAAUUUUGAUCCAAAAUUAGCCUUUUAAGGCCUGGCAUUGUAUGAAUAUAACAGAAAAAGCCUUAUCUAUGAAGGAAAUUAACCCAAGGAAAGGAAGGAAAAUGGGGGAGGAAAGAAAAUCUUUGAUAAGCUUGAUUAUCAAGAAAAACCCAAAACCCUAAAACCCCUAAACCCCAAAAUUGAAAAUGAUAAAUAUUUUCCCAGACAAUCCUCAGAGCAAUCUACCCAAAAACAAUUGCUGCAAAAAAACAUCAAAACCACAAAAUUAGAACUCUAAACGAUGAUAAAAUCACUGAUUUUUCAAAUAUCGGAUGAGAAUUCAAAUCGAAAACUAAACAAAAGAAGAGAAACCCACAUACCGUUUUGAUCUUAAUAUUAUAGAAAUAACAAGGAACUGAUGUUUCUUGCUCGUCUGAAGGGAACAAGAUGGGCUGCAAAGAGUGAAGAAGAAACAGAGAGUGAUGCAGAGAACGUGCAAAAAGAUCCAGAGCUUCUUGUGAGCUCCAGUGAAUAGAUCAAAUCCAGACGACAUAAAUCCUCUGUUUCUCUCUUCUCUGCUUUUCUCAGAGAAAAUCUUUCUCAGAGCAGAGAGAAUCUGCAAAAAAACAGUAAACCCAAAAUUAAAAAACAAAAGAAAAUCACAAAAAUAUCGGAUUAAUAGAUAUCCCUAUAAUCAAGCAACAAAAUAUCAUGAAAAAAGGAAAAUCAAGACAAAAAGAAGUGAAACAAAUAAUCGAAAGUAUCAAAUCAAGAAACAUGAUUAAUACCAAAAGUAGAACCUCUGUGUUAGAAAUAGAAGCUCUAUUACUGUCUGGUCUCUCUAAAGAAGUUGCAUGAGAGAAAAAACAGAGAGCACAGAACAGAGGGUGUGGCCUCUGAAGUGUUUGUUGCGCGAGAAAAGAGUGGAAAGUGAAGUUAAAAUGGGAAGUUUCAAAGGGGAGGGGCCAUGUGGAAGCCUCGUGUGUGAUUAAGCAGGACCACCUCACCUUCCAAUCUCAGCUCUCCCACUUGUUCCGUUACUCUCUAGAUUUCUUCGUUAGAGAAAACUUUACAAAAGCUUCCUUCUUGCAUGCCAUUGCUCUAUUAUUUAUAUAUAUAUUUUUUAAUUUUAUGUUCUCACAAUUGUCUUGUGUGCAUUUGCUAGUCCCUGCUUUUAAAUAAACCAAACUAUUUAGGAAAUAUUUUGAAAUUCGAUUAAUAUAAAUUUAAUUAGUUUCAAUUUAAUUUUUAAAUUAAUUAAAUUUAAAUUUAAAAUUUAAAUUUAUUUAGUUUGAAUUCUAUAAUACUCAAUUCGUUAAUAUUCAUGAAUUCGAUUAUUUUCAAUUCUACAAAGAAUAUUGCAGAAUAAAUUUAUUAAUAGAAUGAUAUUAAUAUUAUAAGAAAAUUAAAUUUAAAUUUUACAUAUAUUUUUAUGAGUAAAUCAUAAAUUUUUAAAGUUUAAUUUUAUAUAAUUUAAUUACAUUAUUAAAAUUUAAAAAUAUUAAAAUUAUUAAUAUUUAAAAAUUUAUUCUUUAUUAUUUACAAAUUAAUUUAUAUAUUUUUUUUAUAUAAUUAAAAUUAUUUACUUUUAAAUUUAUUAAUUUUAAAAUAAAUAAAUUAAAUUAUUUAUAAACUAUUCAAAAUUAAAUUCAAUUAUUAAAAAUAUUUACUAAAUGAAUAAAAUUUGAGUUUAUUAAUAUUUAAUUGGAAUUCGCAACAAGUGAACUCAUAACUUAAAUAAAAUUUAAUAAAUUAAAUUUAAAUUUUUAAAAUACAGCUCACACAUUUAUAUAGAAUUUUGAUUCGAUUCCUAAUAAUUAUAUCAUUAAAAUGAAAAUUUAAAUAUUAAAAGAGUAGAAAUUAAAAUAUUUCAGAUUAAAUUAGAAAGUGUUGAUUAAGAGAAAAAUAAUAUAUAUAUAUCAUUUUACUUUCUAAUCGUAACGUUAAUGUAUGCUGUUAUAAUUUAUAAUAUUGUAUAAAAAUAUAAUUUUUUUAAUUAAUAUAUAUAUAUAAUUAUAAAAUAUAAAAGUACACAAAAUCCUAUUCCAUAAUUUUUUAAUUAAUUUUAAAAUUUUUAAAUAAUAUUAUAAAUAAAAAUAAAAAUUUAUUAUUUAAUGUUUACGGUGCUAAUAAAUUUACUAUUUAAUUUUUUAAUUUUUUUUAAAAUAAAAUCUCUUAAUUUUAAAAGAUGUAUUAAAAUUUAUUUGAUAAUAUGAAAAAUAUACUAAUUAAUUAUUUUAUUAAUUGUAAAUAUUAAAUAUUAUAAAAUAAUUUAAAAUACUCAUAAUAUAAAGAGAUUAAUUAAUAAAUUUUUUAAAAUAUUAAAUAAUCGACUAAUAAAUUUUUUAAAAUAAUAAAUUAAUUAACGGUUAAAAUAAAUGAAAUUAUUAAUGAUUAGAUUUUUUAAAAUAUUAAAAAUAUUUUAAUAUAUUUUUUAAAAUUAAAAAAUUAUUCAAAUAGUAUAAAUUAAAUAAUAAUUUUCACUAAAUAAAACAACAUGCCAAGAAAAUAGAUUUUUUUUUUCAAAAAAAUAUAAUUUAAGAUUUAAAAAAAAUAAUUAAAUAUUUCGAUAAUACGUUUUAUUUCCAAGUUGACAUAUUUAAUGAAUUUUCACUCACAAUUAAUUUGAAUUUUAGGAAUUAUUAAAUUAAUUAAUAAUUUACAUGUUUAGGCCGAUUCUAAAGUUGAUUGGGUGAAAAUUAAAUGAUAUUUUGUAAAAAUAUUUAUUCUUUCAAUGGAUUAAUUUCUUCCGCUAUUUUUGAAUUUAAAUAUUUAAAUUAAUUAAUUUCAUGAAUUUUUUAAUUUUAAUUUGCAUAAAAAAUUUAAUUUCAAUUUAUUUUUAAUUUUUAUAGAACUAUUUAUAACAGAUUAUAAAUUAUGACUACAUAAUAUUUUCAAAAUUUUAUAAUUAGCUUUAACUUCCAAUUUUCAUUUGAUUAUUUUCUAUUUAUUUGAAUUUACAAUUAUCUUAAAUUUUUAUAAUCCAAAUUUAUUUCUUUGUUUAAUUUAAAAUAUUGUAUUAAAAUAUAUAAAUAAAAUUCCAUUUAAUAUUAAAAAGUUUUUAGAGUUAAUGCUCUAAUUAUAAAAAAAAGGUUAUUUGAGAAAAAGUUAGGUGUUUUUUCAUAUUCUUUUAAUUUUCUUAAUUGUAAUCAUAACUACCAAUUUAAUGCUAUUAUUAUUUUGGCAACAAAACAACUAAUACCAUUAGUAAUGCUGACGUGAUGUGGUCCCACCAAAAUCAUUCCAAGGAUUAGUAUACAAACCAAAUACAACUAGAAUUCAACCCAUAACCCAAGCCUGCCACAGAAAUCAACUCACAGCAUGGACAGAUAUUAUUUAGUUUGCAGUUAAAAAAAUCAAUCCAACCGAUUUAAUUUAAUAAUUCAUUUCAGUUUAUAUAAUAAAUUAUUUCUGUUAAAUUUUAAAUUUAAAAAUUAUUAAUUUAUUUAUUUCAAUUCAAUUUUAAUUAAUAAAAAUUAAAUAUGGAAUCAAUUAAUAUAUAAUAUAUUAAAGAGUGAUUUACAAUUUAGUCCUUGAGUAUUGCCAUUAUUAACAAGUCAAUCCCUAUAUUUUUAGAAAUCUAUUAAAACGUCCUUAUAUUUUAUUUCCGUCAACAAAAUAGUCAUUCCGUCCUAUUUUCCGUUAAAAUUAGAUAAAGGAGGAGAGAGAAAAUUUUUAUCAACAAAACAUCCUAUUUUCCGUCGCCUCCUUUUUCUCUAAGAUGAAGAAGAAGAAUAAUAAUAAUAAUAAUAAUAAUAAUAAUAAUAAUAAUAAUUAGGGGUAAUUUAGUCUUUUACUAUAUUUUUAACGGCAAAAAUAGACAGAAUGACUAUUUCAUUGACGGAGAGAAAAUAUAAGGAUAUUUUAAUAGGUUUCUAAAAAUACAGGGACUGACUUGUUAAUAAUGGCAAUAUCCAGGGACUAAAUUGUAAAUCUCCCAAUAUUAAAUCCAUAUUACAUGUAUUGAUAUGUACUUUAGUGGUGAAAAAAGCUACACGUAAGAUAAUGACUUGUAUAGGCCAUGAAAGCAUUGUCUUAUUCUUUUUUUCUUACCUUUUUUAACAAAUAAUAUCAAUAGUACAUUCUCAACGAAUCUCAUCCAUUUUUUUCCUUUUAUAGAUUCAUUCUUUUCUUUCACCAAAACCCUACUACCCCUUAUUAUUCUCGCUCCUCUUGUGGUGUUGCCGUCUCCAUUUCUCCUCUACGGUUUUUUUUUUCAACUCCUUUUCUAUUCUUGCCUCUUCACUUUCUCUGCUUCUUUUCGAGUCACCUUGCAUUUCUCUCUUUCGCCACGAUCAUGAUUGAUUCCUCCUAAGACGAAGUCGAUAAUCCCAUGUCAAUGGUGUAUUGUAGUAAUCGAUUGUGUGAUGAAGCCUUGAUUGAUCUCUUCACAAUCGAAGUCAUUGAGGGAUGUCAUAGGAGACGAAGUUGAUGGCCACCAAUGGCUUUUUCUUUUCUCUCAUCUCAUUCUUAGGAGAUUUUCUAAGAUUUAAUUGUUGCUCAUGAAUAAACUCUAGUUUUUUUUGUUUUGAAUGUGAUUUGUAUGCAUCUUUAAUCUAAUGAUAUGUAUAAGUGUGAAUGAUUAAUUGUUACUUUAUAAAUUGCCUCAAUGGAAGAAUGGAUAUAUUUAUAUUUUUUAAUGAAUUUUAAAUUGAUUUGUAUGUAAUUUUUGAUUGAUAUGUAAAAUUAUGGGUGAUUAUAUAGUUGAUGUAUGAGGCUUUUUUUUUAAUGAAAUUCAUCAAAGAAGCAUUUAAAAAACCUGUAUUUUUUGAUAUCAAAUAGAUUUUUGAAUCGGAUCGAACUAAAUUUUGUAAUUUGAUUUAAUUCGAUUCCUUCACUAGUUUGGUUCGGUUCGAUUUUCACAAUUAAUAAAUUCAAUUAUUUCGGUUUUGGGUAGUUCAAUUUGUUACUGAAUUGAAUCGAUCGAUACUUAGCCCUAGCACCAAUCGCCACUAUCACUGAUCAUCACUACCAUCAUCAUCGAUUAAAUCAAAGCAGCAAAAAAAAUAUAGCAACAACAAUGACAAAAAAAAAUAAAGGCACAAGAAAUAAUCAUGCAUGCCCAAAAUGGACUCUUAUAGGUAAACACAAAUUCAAGACAGCUCAAAAACAAAUCUAGCGCACAAGAAGCAGACGCCGUGAUAAUAUGCACAUUUUGUAGUUUUAAUAUUAUAAAAAUAUUUAGAUAUUGAGUUUGAUUUUAUUUAAAACCGAUUGAUUUGCUUGAAUUUUGAUAUUUUGGUAGGUUAAACAAGAAUUGGAGAAUAACAAGAGAAAAAUCUAAUUUAAACUGUACAUUCUGAAAUCAAAAGAAUCGUGAGCGUAAUCAAGUUUACAGAAGGAUAAGAGGUAGAGUCAUGUUUGAACUCUAACUAUCAGACUAUUGCAUUAUGGACUAUAUUAUGUGCAUAACAUAUUUGACGAGAGAAAUCAGAGUUCAGUUUUAAAUCCAAGAAACAAACAAAUAACUCCCAUCUCUCAAAAUAUACUCGACUUUGAUUUUGAUUACUUAUAUUUAGGUUGAGCUAUGACUCUUAGUGCUUUAAAAAGAGGACAUUUAAUGUACAAAGUAUCUCAUAUUUCAUCUCAUCUCUCAUUUAUCAUUCUUAAUUAGCUUAGAAGGCUGAAAGCACUCUUCUCAUUAUGGUGUUUCAGCCAUGCAUAUAUGUAGCUAAGUUCUUCUUUCAGUUAAAUGAUAAUUAAGAUUUCAGUUUAAUUAGUUAUGAGAUUUAUGUGAUUCUAUUAUUUUCUUAAUUAUUCUUGAUAUUUAUAUUAUUCCUGUAACUAGUGUUUAUUAUUAUUCUAGUAAUUGUUAUAAUAAGGUCCAUUGUGUAAUUGUUAGAAUAAUAUAUUGCUAAUCAGAUUGAUUAAAUUCGUAAUUAUUUAGUUUAAUAUGAAAUAGGUGGUGAAUUAGGUUGUGUAAGACCUUCAUAAAUAACAAUAUAAUCUAACUUAAAUGAACAGAGCGCCUUGCGUUUGUUAGUUAGAAUCAGAUCCUUCUAAUUCUUAAUGCGAUAAUUGGAUUAAAUUCUAUGAGUGUCUCCUAUGGUUAUCCAAGAAUUAGAAUUAGUUAACGAACAUCUCUUAACUAGUUUAAAAUCUAAGAAAUGAUUGGAUAUAUGAAGCAAUUUCGAUAUCUAUAACUGAUUUAUCAAUAAUUAAUUUGGAAUUAUUUUUAUAUCUGUAAUCAAACAAUAAAGCUGAAACUAAGAUUAUUCCUUUGACUGAAUAUUUCUCAUCUUAUCUUUUAUCUUACAUUUAAUUGCUUCUUUUUUUGAAUUAGUUUUAUUUAUUUUUACUUCUCUAUAUUCAAAACCCUCCUAUUUUAUUUUAUUUUAUUUUAUUUUUAUUUCUUUGUUCAUUCAAUAAAAUUUAUUUAUUUAUCAAUCUCUAUGGGAUCGACCUUGCUCACCACUAUCGCAAUUUAUUUUAUUUUAGAAAAGCAGAAAUUUAUUUUUUAUAGUUUUGACGCCCAUUAAAUUUUGGCACCAUUGCCGAGACUGAUUUAAAUUGAUUUAUUAAUUCUUUUGAAUAAUUUUAUUUAAUCUUGCAGCUAAAUCUUGGAUUUGCUUAUAGAGAUUUAUUGCAGCAAUGUGAUGUAUUCAAAUUUAAGCUGUUAUGAACCAUCUUUCUCUUUUCUUGCAUCACAACUUUCAUAUUUGACUAGUUUGGUAUAAGGUAUUGCUAUAAGAAACCUGCAACAGCAAGUAAAUGCAGUGGGUGAACUUUAUAAUCCUCCUCAAAAACAAUAUGAUGCUUGCUUGAACACUUAUAAUUAAGGAUAGGGAGAUCAUUCAAAUUUCAACUAUAGAGCAAUGCCGACCUGUUUCUAAAAUCCUCAGCAACAGCUAGCAUUUUCAUCAAAUUUAGGUAUGUCUCUUGAGGAUAUUGUUAAAAGUUUAGCAAUUAACACUCAAGAAUUUCAGCAGGAAACAAGGGAAAUAAUUCAAAAUUUAAAAACACAAAUGAGCCAACUAGCUACCUCCUUAAGCAAAUUGGAGUCUCAAGAGGAAUUACUUUCCCAAACAAUAGUCAACUCACUCAAGGGAGAAUGUGAGUAUUGUUACAUUGAGAAGUGAAAAAGAGUUGCUACAAAAUCCUCGUGAGGUAGGUCGUGGGCACGACGAAAAUGCAGACCUGGAGAAUGAAAUUUCAGCACCUAAAACAAAUAGUAAAUUGACACCCGCACAUAAACUAGCUAAACAUGAUGAUCUAAUAAUCAAACCUCCUUUUCCUUGAAAGGUUAGCCAAGUCCAAAAAGAAGAAAGAAGAGAUGAGAUCCUUGAGAGAUUUUACAAAGUGGAGGAACCAAAAGUGGAAUUGAAGUCAUUGUUCGAUCAACCACCUCUAUUCGUAAAUGAGAAUGGCACUUCACACGGUUUGAAAGUACAAUUUCAACAAGUAUUUCUCAAGCCAUUUUACGAAGAAUUUAAGGUAAAACUAACUAAGGAUGUCACUUUUAGUGACCCAACGCCAAUUGUCUAAUGGUCAUGAUAUUCAAAUAAAAUCUAGCUAAGACUAUAAAUUAUAACUAUUUCUUCUCUUAUCCCUCUAAUUUUUUUUUUUUACUUUUUUCUUUAAUUUAAAAAAAAUGUAUUUUUCUUUGAUAGCCUAGAUUUUUUCUUUUUAUUCUCUUAGGUAACGGUAAAGACAAGGAUAUGUUUUGAGAGUGUUUAUUUCAUUUACAAUUCUCAUAGAGAAAUGUUUGUGUUUUCAGUUACGUACAUAACCACAUCCACGACGCUUACAAAGUCAAACCCUCUUGUUCAGAUUUUCAUUUUACUUCAUCUCUUUUUUAUUUAUUUUAUCUUAUAAUUUUUUUUAAUCAAGUCUUCUUUCCCAAUAAUCUGAUCUGAUAUGAUACACUACCAUUUGCAAUUUUAAGUUUUUACAUGUCUGAAUUCUUAUAUCAUACCCAAAAUGAUAUGUUUUACUGCAGGAGUUAAUGGAGGCUUAUUUUAUUAUUUAUUCUUAUUUUAUUAUUUAUUCCUUUAUUUUUAUUCUUAAUUUUACUUUUAUUUUUUACUCUUCGCACUUACACAACCCUAAUCAUUUUCUUUUUUUUUUCUCUCACCAUAUUGCAGCCGCACAUCACCCUCUCCAUGACUCUCAAACAAUGGUCAAUCACUCACUCUUCCUUCAUUGAUAGUCGAUGAGCAAAGAUCUUCACCGGGCGAAAUCCAUCGUGCGAUGAAUCUCCACCAUGAGCAGCUGACAACCACGAUGUGAUACCACUAAAUCGCAACAUAAAUUCCAUGUCCAACCUAUUGUGCGAUGUCCACCAUGCCCCUGUCUCCAUGAAUGAUGAUUUCUCUCUCCAAGUAUAUAUUGCAACUACAAAGAUUUGAAGAUAUGAUAUGCAUAGCACAUUGAGGAUAACUUCAUUAAGUUCGUGCCUUUGGUUAUAUCCACAGCUAAACCUAUGACACUACAUCUUAUCAAUAGAUCUUUUCCACCCACCAGGAAAGUACUUGAAUCUAUAUUUUCUGUUAUUUGAAUGUGAAUUUUAAGUGUGGGGAGGAAUGUUUUUGAUGACUUGCUUUAUAUAGCUUUGUUCCAUAUUGAGAGCAAUGUGACUUAAGUGUGGGGGAGAGUUACAGUUCAUAUAUAUGCUGCUCAUCUGUUUUUGUGUUCUUUAGUUUUAGUUUUAUUUUCUUUUAUUUUAAUUAUUUUCUAUUUUAUUUGGUUUGUUUAUUUUCUUUAGUUAAAAAAAGACUUUAGAGUUAAAUUAAAUUAUUUUAGAUAGUUAACAUAAAUGAUAUUUUCUUAUCUUUUUAUGUAAAUUAUGAGCGAUACUAGCAUUUUUUUUUUAUGAGUUAAAAUCAUAAACCAUAUAAGUUAACAUAAUCUCAUUUCACCUUUUAAAAAUAAUGUUAAUUGUGUUUUGUAAUAUAUAUAUCUUUUUACAUUUAAGCACCACUGGAUAUGGGUUUUUUUUAAUAUAUAGAUCGAUGAUAAUAAUAAUAAUAAUAAUAAUAAUAAUAAUAAUAAUAAUAAUAAUAAUAAUAAUAAUUAGUAUUAUUGUUGUUAUUAUUUGAUUUGUUAUUUAAUUAUAAAAAUUAUUAUGUUAUUCAAUUUAAAAUAUUAUAUUAAAAUAUAUAAAAAAAUCUCACUUAAUAAUAAAAAAUUUAGAGGUAAUAUGCGAAUUAUAAAAAAGAAAGUAUUCAUAUAAUUUAAAGAAAAUUCUUAAUUGAAUCGGUUCGCCAUUGACUCGAGUAUUUUUAAGGCAUAUAUAAAUGGAUCUUACUAUGAAAAAUUUUUAAAAAUUGACCUUAUUUAAAAAUUUUAAAUUCGUAAUAAAUUGAGUUUAUUUAAAAAAUUUCCUGUAAUUUAACAGUUUUAUGGCAAUUAAUCAUACAUGCUUAUGUAUUUUUUUUCUUUAUUGUAAUAAUAACUUUCAAUUUAAUGAUAUUAGUGCAAGUUUAGUCCAGUAGUAAAGUGCAUAUCAGUAAAUAUGAGAUAUCUCAGAUUUUAUUCUCUUAAUUUUCGGUUUCCAUUUAAAAAAAAAUUAAUACUGUUAAUAUUUUAAAACAACUAAUACCACUAAAAAUGCUAACAUGAUAUAUUAAUUUUCUUUUCCUUAUUAAUGAUUAUGUAGUUUCAUCAAAUAAAAAAAAAUGAAAAUUAUAUAUAUACAGCAUUUUUAAAAAAACCAUAAAUUUAAUUAGCCAUAUCAUUUUAUCAUUUGUAUUUGUGAAAAAGUAGAAUAAUUUGUAAUUUAAAUUUCAAAAUAAAAAAGAAAUAAUUUCAAUAACAAGAAUUCUCAUCUCAAUACCUCUCUCUUAAUUUCCCUAACUAAAACCUCUUACGCCUUGAACGAGUUAAGUUUCUGCUCACCAAAAUCCCUAUUAAAUCACAAUUACAUUUGAAUUCAAUUUGCACUCAUCAGUUGAUUUUGAACAGAAUUAGAAACCCACGUAUCCCAUCAGUGUAAAAUACAACCGGAAGAACCAAAGAAAACAUGAAAACUUCCACUACAAGAAAAGAAAUUGAUUAUAACACUUUUAAAUUUGUAUAUAAAUUUAUUUUUUCUACUUUAUUAGUUUAUUUUCUUUAUAUUUUUUCCUUUGAAAAUCAAGAUCCAGGCCUAAGAUUAGUUUGUAGAAAAAUUUUUGUGUUAGAAUUAGGGGAGAAUAUAUUUCGGUUCAAAUCGAAAAACUGAAUCAAACAGAUCAAUUUCAGUUCAGCAAUUUGGUUAGUCGUACCAUUCUGUUUUGUUAGUUUAAUAUUUUUCAGAUUAUUCGAUUCGGUUUAAAUGUGUUAAAUAACGGACUAACCAAAUUAACCUAUUUUACUAUAUACUAUUAUAUUAACCCUUAUCCAACCCAACCAUCAACCUAAGUCCAAUCUCUUUUCUCUCAUCUUUUACCCAAUCCAAUCAACAGCGCAAGCCUCAAUAUAUUAAAUUUAUAAAUAUCUGUUUUGAUAUAACUGAAUCAAUUUUUAUCAAUUUAGUUCGGUUCAAUUAUAUCUUAAUAAUCGGUUUAGUUCAAUUUUAAUUUUUUAAAAUUUAAUUUUUGAUUUUUUUAUUUGAUUCGGUUUGAAACCUAACCGAAGCCCGUUUUGACAGUAUUAGUUUUGUUUUAUUUCAAUUUAGAGAUUCUAAUUAGGCUUGCACAAUCGGUCGGUUCAGUUCCAAAUCGAACCGACUUGGAAUCGCUCAUAUUUUUUUUUAUUUGAAUAAAAGAUUUGAUAUCCAUUUUUAAAAUGAAUUUUUUUAUUUGGUCCGUUUUAAGAUCGAGUCCACAAGAACUCAAUUAGAUGGAUUCGUAGACUAUCCAUUUUAAAAAAUACUAAAAUAGUAUAUUUUUAUUUAUUAAUUUUAUGUUUUGUAGAUAAACAUUAAGAUGUGGAUGGUAAGAAAAGGGUUGAUAGUGGAGAUAUAUCAAUUUUUAAAAUAAAAUUUAAAUAUUAUUGAUUUAGAGAAAAAUGAUGUUAAAAAUCUUGAUAUUUGAAAUUUAAAAUAUUAUCUAUAUUUUGAUAUUUAAAAUUUUAAUUUUAGAACUAUGCUGUGUUUGUUAAGGGUAUCUCUAGGUUUAUAAAGCAUACUGUUACAUUAAUGAAAUUUUAUAUUUAUAAACAUCUAGGGUGAGCAGUAUUUGGUUUAAAUCGAAAAAAUUGACCGAAUCGAUUUAAUUUGAAAUUUUUAUUCGAUUUUUUAUUUAUUUUGGUUUGAUUCAGUUUUUAAUUUCAAAAUUUUCGAUUAUUUCGGUUUAGUUCUGUUUUGAUCAGAAAAAAUCGAAAAAAUCAAACUGAACCGAUUUAGUGAUAAUAAUAUAUUAUUUUUAAUAAUAUAGAAAAAUUAAAUCAUAUUAAGAUUAAAAUAUUUUAAUUAAAUUUUAAAAUAUUAAAAAUAAAGUGUAAAAAAUAAAAAAUUUAUUAAAAAUCGAAAUAGAUCAAAUCGAAUAGAAUCAAACUGAAUCAGACCGGUUCGGUUCGAUUCGGUUUUUUAUUGAAAUCAGUUCGAUUCGGUUUUUAUAAAUACUAAAAUUUUGAUUUUCGGUUUAUUCAAUUCGAUUCAGUUUUGAACCGAACCGACCGAAUGCUCACCCCCUAUAAACAAUUAUUGAUAUAAUUUCCUAAAAGAAAGUUGUUAUAUUUUUUUAUAGUUGUGCAUUGUUUUUUCAUAUAAAUCAAUUUUAAUUAUGUAAGCAGAGUAAUUGGAAAGAACACCAAACAUCAAAAGGAAAGUAAUGGCGUUUCUAUUAAUAACAAAUGACGGGGGAGUUAACGUGAGUAAUUCAUUUAUAAAUAUUAAUUUCAACAUAAUUUUUCAAUUAAGUGUUUUACUAUUUAUUUCUUAUAGUUUAUAAAAUUCAUUAAUUAAUUUCUCAAUUUUAUAAAAAGUCUACUAAUUAGUAUCUCUAUAUUAAGGGUAUUUUAAACUUUUUUAACAUUUAACUACUCGUUGUUCUAAAAUAAGUAACCGAGAGAAAGGUGAAUGAGUCGCUUUACCAAUUUUUCAACCAUUGCUCUGUGUUUUAAUGAAAAUUUGUGAUUACUAAUUCGAAGUGUAAAAAGAGUAAUGGCUUAAAAUAAAUAUGUUAAAAAUUUUCUUAAAAGAUUAAAAAACCAAUUUAUCACAGACAAACACGUACUGAAUAGAUAUAGAUAAUGUAAAGUAGAAUUAAAUUAACAAGUUAAUUUUUAACAUAUUCUCAUUAGCAUUUAUUUAACUUGUAAACAUAUAUCUUAUAUAAAUAAUGAAAGUUAUAAAUAAAGAAUUUAGGGAUAAGAAAAUCAAACAUAAAAAUUUAUAAUGGUUCGGCUAACACUGUCUAUAUCCACUCUCUCAAAAACUUUCUUUAAGUCUUCACUCCACUAAACCUCUUUUACCAUGCAACAUGAGAACGGUCUUACAUAUAACGACAAUCUUUUCAGAUACUUGUAGACCUUUAUAAGUUGAUAUACUUCUACCUAAACUUCAAUAGGUGCUUAAAACCUUUAUUAAGUGAACACACUUGAUCAAUUUUUAUGUAGAUUUUAAUUAAAAAAGAAAUACUCUCAACAACUCUCAGUGAUUACAACGGAAUGUUAUUAAAAUGAGAGAGAAAAUAUUUAUCGAUGAAUAUCAAAACUUUGAAUGAAAAACUUUUAACAUAAGAGUUUUGAUGCUCUUAGAAAAUCAGUGCUUCCAUUCCUAAUUUACGAAGAAAUUCAAUCUCUUAAAUAAGUAUCUGAAAAUUUUUUUUCUUAGCUAUCAACAGUAAUAAAUUUUGAAAAUAGUAGCCGUUAUAAUAUUGAAAUUCGUGCACACCGAAAUAAAUUAAAUGCGCAAACUGAAAGUAGUUAGCUAAAAAUAAAUGCAAACAAAAAUUAAAUACCUAAAUUUAAACUGCAUCUAAAAUUAAAUGUCUAAUUUUAACUUUCUAAAAUUUUAAUUAGCUAAAACAAUAAUUUUUAAAUUCUUGCUUUUUGAAAUUUUUAGAAUAAAAUUUUUUUUUCAAAAAAUAUUUAAAUAGAAUAAAAGGAAAAAAUUUUAUUAUUGGCAUAUCAACUUAUUCACUCAUUUACAAUAAAUCCUAAAAUUACUUAGUUUCACUUAGUUUCCUUUGAUUUAUCUUAUAUUGCCUUAAAAGUCUUCUUCCUUUAUGUUGCAGAAAACUUCUUUGAUCUUCAAUAUUUUCCAAAUACUCUAUUUUUAAUACUAAUUAAAGAUAGUUAGAUAAGUAAAAUUUAUUAAAUUUUGGUACCAUAAACUAUUUCAAAAUUAAAACUAUCUCAAAUUUGAUUAUAUAUUAUCCAAAUUCAUCUUAAUAACUUUCGGUCAGACCGAAUACUAAAAAAUACCUAACUCAUCCCAUGAUUAUUCACUUUUAUAACGAGCACUUCAAAAAUUAGAUAAUAAAGCAAAAAUAUUUUUGAUUUCUCACCGUCUUUCACCACUGCUGAAGCCACGCAGUUUUCUCUCCCAAUUCCAUGAAACAACCUCCAAUAUGACUCUCCUUUUUCAUAAUUGCUAAUCCUACCACCUUCUGGCCCAAACAUCAAAAUCUACUAGUUCAUAAGAUAUAAUAAACAUCAAAUAAAUGAUGUAAAUCCAAUUAUAAAAUAGUAAAAAUAAAUAUUGGAAAGCCAUUAGAAAUAUUUAAAAAUUAUAGUUGAAUUUAGGGGUGAACAUUCGGUCGGUUUGAUUUAAAAUCGAAUCGAAAAAAUCAAAAAUUAAAAUUUUAGUAUUUAUAAAAAUCAAACCGAAUUGAUUUUGAUCAGAAAUCAAAUUGAACCAAACUGGUCUGAUUCAAUUUGAUUUAGUUUGAUUGAUUUGAAUUUUUAAUAAAUUUUUUAUUUUUUACACUUUAUUUUUAAUAUUUUAAAAUUUAAUUGAAAUAUUUUAACCUAAUAUCUCUAUAUUAUUGAAAAUAAUAUAUUAUUAUCACUAAUUGAUUCAGUUUCUUUUUUUUUAUUUUUUUCUCAUCAAAACCGAAUCGAACUAAAAUAACCGAAAAUUUUAAAAUUAAAAAUUAAAUCGAAUCAAAAUAAAUAAAAAUCGAACUAAAUUUUUAAAUUAAUUUGAUUCUGUCAAUUUUUUCGAUUUAUAUCGAAUACUGUUCUCCCCUAAUUAAAUCUCACGUCGAUUUAAAAAGAAAAUAAUGCGACUCUUAUAUGAGCCCUAAGCACUUCUCUAUUGUUAAACAUAUAUUUCAUUACUCUAUUUGUAUUUUUUCCAAAGAAUCUUUUAGAAUAAUAAUAAAAAUUAAUAACCUUUUUUAGUACGAAUAAUUUUAUAAAAAAAAUUUAAAUAAAUUUUAAAUUUUUAUAUAUAAUAAAAAAAUUUGAAUUAAAAAAUUUUAAAUUUUUUUAUUUUAAAUAAAAAUUUUGUACAAAGACUUGAUUUCAAAUAAAAGGAAAAAAAUAAAUUAAAUCUGGAGUUUAAAUCUUCUCAAUGACUUAUUCUAAUGUAUUAAUUUUUCUGAUAAAAAAAAUUAUUAUGUCAUUUAUACAAUGAAUUAAUUGACUUUUGUAUUUUUUGAAUAAAAAAUAAUAAUUAUUUAAUUUUAAUAGUUGUUGAUUUAUUUCAAAUGAAUAAAUUUUACAUAAACAAAAAUAUAAAUAAUAUGUUAGCUGAAAUAAUGAAAGAUCUUAUAUUUAAAUUUAAAUUAAUAAAAUAUGAGUGUAGAAAUAAGUUGAUAUAGAUAAGAAAAUUUUCAUUUUAAAUUUUGUCAUUUUCCAAAUUUUUAAUGAGAAAUAAGUGAUAAAUAAGUUAAAUGUGGUGUUUGCUAAAGACAUUGGCCCAACUUGCUUUCUCUUUUGCUCUCAGCUUAGGGCCCACUUCACCCAAAAAGCAUCUUGGGCCUCUCUUUCUGCAUUAAACGAUUUCACCUUGGGGAGAGCAUAUAUCGGUUUGAAUUAAAAAAUCGAACCGAAUUUAUCAAUUUCGAUUUAAUGAUUUGAUUAAUCAAAAUAUUCAGUUUGGUUCAGUUAGUAUUUUUCAGUUUAUUCAAUUUUUGAUUCGGUUAGGUUUAAACAUGUUAAACAAUCGACAAACCGAAUAACUGAUUUUAAAUAUGUUUUUAUUAUAUGAAACACUGAUUUUAUAUGUAUUUUUAAAUUUUAUAUAGAUUUAUAUAAAUUUUUUAAAUAUUAUUAUUAUAUAUUCAUAAAAUAUUUAUUGAUAAAUUUAUGUAAAAUAUUUAUUGAAUUAUACAACUGAAAUUAGAAGUAAAAAAUUUUAAAAAAAAUUACAGAUUUUCGAUUUGAAGUAAUCGAACCAAACUGAAUUGAUUUUUAUCGAUUCGAUUCAGUUCGAUUAUAUCUUCAUAAUCAAUUUUUUUGUUUUUAAUACUUUUACAAUCUGAUUUUUAAUUUCGAACCGAGGGAUUGCACAGCAUUAAUUUCACCAAAAUAAAUUGUUAUUUUAAUAUUAUUAAAAUAAUAAUUUAAAAUUAUUAUAAAAAAAUAUUUUUAUUAUAAUAAUAUAUUUUAAUAUAUAAUUUAUUUUUUAUUUAAUAAACUUAUAAUUAUAGCCGCACUUUUUAUUCACGCUAAAAAUAUAAAUAAAUUGUUGAUUUAUCUAUAAUAAUAAAGACAGAUGUAUUAAAUUUUAAAUUAUUACUACCUUUUAAAUAUAAAAUAAUAAUUUUUAAUCACUAUUUUAAAUCUAUUUUUAUAGUAUUUAUAAAUAUUAAAUAAUAUAAAUAUUAAAAAUUAAAAUUAAUUAAUUAAGAUUUUCUUUAAUCUUUUAAUUAAAUAGUUUAAUUUUAUAAAAUAAAUGGAUUUUUAAUUAAAUGAUUAAAAAUAGGAAAAAUUACUUUUUAGUCCCUGAGGUUUAACGUAAUUUACACUUCUAUCCCUCUAUUUUGACGACUCAACACUUAAGUCUCUCACUUUCUCUUCCGUCUAAAUUCAUAGUCCUUCCGUCAAAAAUAGCCGUUUGGUCAAAGAGUCAAAGGUGAGGUGAAAUUUUUUACCAAAAAUACCCUUAAUAAAAUUAUUAAAAUUAUUUUUUUCAAGGUGAAAUCCCUUAAUGAAAUUACAUUUAACAAAAUACAUAAGCACAUUAAUUUAAUUUUUAUAAAAAGGACAUAAAUGAAAAGAAACAAACAUAUAUAAAUUUUAGUGAAUAAAUUUAAAAAAUUAAAUAAUUUUCAUUUAGAUAUUUCAAUGAACCAAAAUUAAGUAUUAUUUUUUUUAUUUAGUUUUUAAUUUUAAUAAUAUAGAAAUUUCAAAUACCAAAAUUUAAUAUCUAGUUAAUAAUAUAAAAAAUAACUUCAAAUUUCAAAUUUGAUAAGUUUAAAAAAUUUUAAAGCAUUAGAACAUAAAGAUCUUAAGGAAUUUUAAUUUUAUUUAAGCAUUAAUUUAUAAACUUUAAUAAUAAUUAAUACAUUUUAUAAUUGAAAUUUUGAUUAAUAAUUUAUUUUAAAUUAUUUUUACAUUAAUUGAUAUUUACCAAUGAAUGAAUAAAAUAAGAUCAUGUGGUAAGUUUUAAAAUAUUAUUAUUGAAAUUUUCAAUUUUUAAAUAUAAGAAAUGUUUUUGAAAAUAAAUACUUAAAAUUUAUAAAUAAUUGGGAGAGAGAUUGACAUUUUUUUUAUUGUUGUAAAAAUAAAAUCCAUAAAAUUUUAGUUUUAUUUUUUUAUUUAUUUUGAUUUGAUUUUUAAUUUUAAAAAUUUCAGUUAUUUCAAUUCUGUUUGAUUUUAAUUAAAAAAAUUAAAAAAUCAAAUCAAAAUUAAUUAUUAAUAAUAAUAUAUUAUUUUUUAUAAUAUAAAAAAAUUAAAUUAUAAUUAUUAUUGAAAUAUUUCAAUUAAAUUUUAUAGUAUAAAAAAUAAAGUAUAAAAAAUAAAAAUCUAUUAAAAAUGCGAAUCGAACCAAAUCAAACUAAAUUAGAAUGAUUCGAUUCAAUUUAACUUUUUUUUAAAAUCGAUUCAAUUUGACUUUUACAAAUACUAAAAUUUUAAUUUUAAUUUAUUUAAUUUAAUUUAAUUUUAAAUUAAAUCGACCAAAUAUUCGCUUCUUAACUUCUCUUCCUUUCUCUGUUUUUCAUAAACUUUUUCAAUAUAUUUUAGAAUUUUAAAAUUCAUUUUACAGAUAAUUCAGAAGAUAUACUUUCAAAAUUUUAUACUUAAAAACCAUAUCACAAUCAACAUUAAAAUAGAUGAUGUGGAUUUUACAUAAAAUGUCACAUUAUUAAUGAAAAUUACAUGGCAUGCCACAUUGUCUCUGAACUUAAUAUGCCAUACCACAUCAUUUAUAAAAUAUUAUGUCAGCAUGUCAAUACCAUAUUAGCAAUAUUUAAGGCAGUUAGUCAUAAGGGUGUAAUCGAGUCGAGCCGAGCCGAAUUUUGUAAAAUUCAAGCUCGUUUAUUAAAAAAGUUUGGAAGUUCGAGCUCGAGCUCGAGCUCGACUCGAGCUCUAGUAUUUGAUUCGACCUCGACUCGAGAAUUAAAUAUUAUAAUCGAGCUCGAUUCGAGCUCGACUCGUGAAAGGCUCGUUCGAUUUAAUAACGAGCCUAAUUCGAGCUCGAGCUCGAAAAGCUCGAUUAAGAAGCUCGUUAAUAAAAUUCGAGCUCGAACUCGGAAAGCUCGAUUAAGAAACUCGUUAAAAAAGCUCGAGACCGAGCUCAAAAUUAAAAAGUUUGGUUUGAGCUCAAGUUUAGGCUCGAGCUCGAAUUAAUAAUUACACUUUAAUCAGUUUUUAAUCAUCAUUAAUUUAAAUAAUAUAAAAAAAAGAGAGUGUACAUAAAAAAAAUUACGUAACACAAUUUAUAACUAAAAUAACACAAAUAAAUAUAAAUUCAACAACAUAAUAAAAUUAGAUUACACACAAAAUUUAAUAUCAAACGAAUAAAGUUAAUUCCAACUUCCAACAGUUGAAACAAGCUAAUAUAAUUUAAUUAUCUUCAUAAUCAUCUUCAUACUUGUUCAAUUAGUUAACUUGAAUUUCAACUUCAACAUCCAUAUAACCUUAAUUAAUUAUUAUUAAUAUACUUUGAUAAUUAUUAUCAUCUUUUAUAUUGUAUGCUUAAUUAUAUACAAAAAAAUUUUUAUAAUUAUACUUUAAUUUUAAAAUGUAUAUAAUUUUUACAACUCAAUUUAUCAUGUAGUACUAUAAUUUUAAAAAAUACUUAUUAUAAUAAUUAAUAUUAAUUAUUUGUGAUUAUACAUUAAUUUUAUGGAAUCUUAUUAUAAUAAUUAUAUUCAAAAAAAUUUUAUAAUUUAAUUUUAAAAAAUAUUAAUUAUAAUAAUUAAUCUUAAUUAUUUGUAAUUUUCAAUACUAUAAUUUUUAAAUAUUUAUAAUAGUUUAAAUUUUAUAACUUUAUAGUUAUUUUUAUUUUUUUAAUAAUAUAUGAACUUGUUCAUAAAUUUAUUUAACGAAUUGGUUCACCAAUUUAUUUAAACAAUAUUACUCACGAGCCUAUUUAACGAGUCUGCUCGUGAGCCUUCUCAACGAGCCAGCUCGCGAGCCUUCUCAACAAGCCAGCUCGCGAGCCUAAAAACGAGCCAGCUCGCGAGCCUAAAAACGAGCCAGCUCGCGAGCCUUAACGAGUCGAAUACUAUGGAGCUCAAGCUCAACUCGUUUAAGUGACGAGCCUCAAAAUUGAGCUCGAGCUUAGGUCGUUUAAAAAACGAGCCGAACUCGGUCGAGUUUUUAUCGAGUCGAGUCUCGAGUAGCUCACGAAUAGUUUGGCUCAUUUACAGCCCUAUUGUUCUUACAAUGCUAAGGGAUGAAAGUAUAUAUUUCAAUUGACAAUGAAAUAAAAUACAAGCCAUUAAUGCUAAAAGUGCUAUUGUAAUGGGUCCAAUAUAUAAUUAUGUGAAUUUUAAAGAAUCAAUAAAAAAAAUUAUAUAUUUUUUUAAUUUUUAUAAUUUUACUCUAUACGAGGGGUGAGCAGUAUUCAGUUCAAAUCGAAAAAACCGACCGAACCGAAUUGAUUUAAAAAUUUAAUUCGAUUUUUUAUAUAUUUCGAUUCAGUUCGGUUUUUAAUUUUAGAAAUUUUGGUUAUUUAGGUUCGGUUCGGUUUUGAUCAGAAAAAACCGAAAAAACCGAACCGAACCGAUUAGUGAUAAUAAUAUAUUUUUUCAAUAAUAUAGAGAAAUUAAAUCAUAUUAAGAUUAAAAUAUUUUAAUUAAAUUUUAAAAUAUUAAAAAUAAAGUGUAAAAGAUAAAAAAAAAUUAUUAAAAAUCGAAACCGAUCAAACUGAACUUAAAUCGAACCGAAUCAGACCGGUUCGAUUCGGUUCGGUUUCUGACCAAAAUCGGUUUGGUUCGGUUUUUAUAAACACUAAAAUUUCGAUUUUUGAUUUAUUCGAUUCGAUUCAAUUUUUAACCGAACCGACCGAAUACUCACCCCUACUCUAUACUAUUUUAAUUAUCAAUUAAAUUAUAAAUUUACUAUUAUUUUACUGUUAGUGUCUAAUGAAAUUAUCAUGGUCAUAUCAAUAAAUUUCAAGUUAUAAUUAAUAAAAAUUUAAAAAAUUAGAAUAAAACACAUUAUUUUUUAAUAAUUUUUUAAAAUUAAAAUUUAUAAUAAUUAAAAUAUUUAAUAUUAUUAUUAUAUUUAUUUUAGUUUUAUCAAUAAUUUCCAUAUAUCAAUUUAUCAAUAAUUCAAUUUCGAAUUAACCUAUCUCCUAAAUUAUUUUUUUUUUAAAUUUACUCUAAUUAUUAUUUUAAUUAAAAAAUACAUAAUUAAGAAUAUGUUUAAAAAUAUUAUAUAAAAAACUAUUUAAAAAAUAUAUUAUAAAAAUAGAAUUUAAUUAGUCACUAAAUUAAUUUAACAUGAUAAAUUAUUUUUUAUGAAAAAAAAAGAGUUAUACCUUGUAAUGAGUUAUUUAACUUUUGAUCGAAUAGCACGAGCAAAUGGUAAAGUGAAGAGUCUUUAUUGUUUUGAUUAUAUUAAUUAUAUUUUUUUAAAUUACAUGAAAAUAAAAUUAAUUAAGGCUAUUUUUAAUUAUGAACGGAAGAAUAAACAUAGAAAAUAUUUAUUUAGAUUAUUAUAAAUUAAAUAAAUAUUUAUUAAAAAUAUUUUAUUAUAUAAAAAAGAAAAAAAAAAACUGUUUGUGUUUGACUUGAUCGUCAAUAUUAAUGACAUAUCUAAAAUCAAAGCCUGGAAUCAUAUUGUGGCCCCACACGGUACGGCCCACAACAGCAUUAUCUCUAAAGUCCAAAGUGGUUUGAAUGAUGGGAAAUCAACGACUUACGUUGGUGGUAUAGCUAUUGUUAGGAUGCUCCUACGUUUUACCCAAAUCUAAAAAGCCAAAUAUAUAAAUUAUAAAAAGCUAAAUAUAUAAAUUGGUCCCUAAUCUUUACUUGAAUUAAAAGUAAAUAUUGUUAAAAUUAUUAGAAUUUUGUAAGAAAUAAUUUUAUUUAAGACUAUUUAUAUUAAAAUUACUUAAUCAGUGCUUGAAACUCUUUUUAUUUUAUUUUUCUUUUAUUUUUUAUUUGUUUUAGUUAUAAAAUUAUUUUUUAUUUUUUAAUUAAUAAUUACUCUUUACAAAAAUAAUUUAAUUUAAUACUGACUAUUAAUACUUACUAUAUUUAUAGUUAAUAUUAAAAAAAUUAUUAUAUUAUUUUGUUAAUUAAAAAAUCAUUUUCAUAUUUUUAAUGGUAAAAAAUUAUGUAAAAUUCAGAUUUUAAAUUUUAUAAAAAAAUAAUUUUUUAAUGAAUGUAAUAAAAUGAUUGUUAUUUAUAAGAAUGAAUAUUUAUGUUUGGUUUAAUAAUAAUAUAAAUGAUGAAUAAAUUAAAUUUUAUUACAUUUAAAUUAAUUUCAAACAAGAAAAAUUAUUAAUAAAAAUGAAUUAAAUUCUAUUAAUAAAAUUUAUUUUUUUAAGAAAAAAUACAUAUUAAAUAAGAAAAAAAUAUAAAUUCAAAUUUAUUGACUAAAUUAUUACAAAGUGCUAAAACUUUAGUACUAAAUUAUUAUAAAUAAUAAAGCUUAAAUAACUAAAUUGUUAUUAAAAAUGAAAUUUUAAAAAUUAAAUUGUUAUAAUUUAGUAUGAUUAAUUUUAAUAAAAGAAUUAUUUUAUUAAUAGAAUGAAAUAUUGAGAAUUAAAUUAUUUUUUUAUAAAAAAAAAAAAAAAAGUAAUUACUCCUGCUUUGGUCCUUUCCUUCUCAAGCUUGCUCGUGAUACCAUUGUCUCUAGGGAAGGACCUAGUUGUAAGAGAAUAAUAAUGACUGGUUUUAGAGAUUGGAUGAAUGAGAAUGAUAUAGGUGAAAGAGAGGGAUAGAGACGUAUUUUAGGGAUUAAAUAGUAUUUUUAAAAUUAUAUAAUAUUUUUUUAAAAUUUAAAUAGUUGACUAAUAAAAUUUUAUUAACAGAAUAAUAUUUAAUUUGAACGAAACGAAAAAUUUAGAGAUUAAAAUAUUUAAUUUUUAAAAUAUAAAAAUAUAUUUAUUAAUUAUGAUAAAGUUUAGGGACUGAAAAAUAUAUUUUUCAUUUACUUGAGCAGAAAAGUCAAAUUAAAUUUAUUUAGACUGCAACAAAAAGUGGAAGACUUGAUUUAAGUUAUUUCUAAAUUUAUUUCACACACAUUUAUUUAUUCAACCAAAAAGAUAUUUUCAUAUUUAUUGUUAUUUGAAUUGAAAAAUGAAUAUUUUUUUUAAAAAAAUUAUAUAUUUAAAACAAUAAAUUGUCUAUCGAUCUUUUUUAAAUAUAUCUCUUCUCAUAUAAUUAAUUUUAUUAAAUUAUUUUUAUAAUCAAUUAAUUUCAUUUUUUAAUGUGAUUUAAAUAAAUUUCAUUUUUUAAUGUGAUUUAAAUAAAUUAUGGGAGGGAAAUGAUAUAAUUUAUUUAUUUUUUUUAAAUGAUAAGUCUAUUUUUGAAAGAAUUCGAAUUAAUGAUUCGUUCAAUACACAGAAGAUAAUUUAGUGCGGUAAGGAAUCCAAAGCAGAACAUAUUCGGUAGGGCCCAAUGGGCCCAUCUUAUCUAACGACACAAGCAACGCGUCAUAAGAGGUGCGUGUGACAUAGACAUUCUCGUCAUUUCCGAAGCAACACAUGAUUUCGAAUAUCGCCAUCUUUAUGACGCAAGCUCACCGACUAUCCAUUACAUCAUACCAACGCCAUUAGUCCCAUCCAACGGCUACAAAUUGACCCACUGUUGACUAUUGCUCUUCAAAACUCCUCUUUGUGUAACCACCACCUCACAUAAAAUCUCCUCCGCUCCUCUCUCUCCCACAUGCCCCAUGAUAUGAUUUUAGCAGCAAAAUUUUUAUUUAUAUAUAUUUAACAGAUAAAUAAAUAAACAAUUUUCAAAAAUAACUAUAAAUUAAAAUACAGGCGACCAAACUCUUUCGGUCUUUUUUUAUUAAAAUUAAAGUGACCACCACAAAAUGUUUUCACCAAAUUCCCAGCAGGGGGAGUAAUGAGAUUCGACGUUUGUGCGCUGCGACGACUUCAAACAGGAGAAUAAAGAGAUUUUGCCUCGCCGGAGAGAGAUGGAUGGUAAAGGAAGAGACAAGAGAAGAAGGAUCGAGAAAGAAUCAGAUGAAGCCAAGAAUAAAAAGGUCAGAAAAGGAGAUCUGGAGGAGGCCACUGAAGAGGAAGUCGAUGAAUUUUUUGCUAUUCUUAGAAGGAUGCAAGUUGCUGUCAAAUAUUUCGAGAAAGGAAAUGGUGAAGGCUGGCGAGCUGCCGUUGAGGCCGAGGUGGUGGCGGUGGUAGGUGGAGAAAAGGAUGAGAAGGACGAGACAGAGAAAAAGGAGGACUCACCGGAAAUAAGGCCGAUUGUGGAGGAGGAAAUUGGAGUUUUGGAUUUGAACGUGAUGCCAGAGGUGGAAAAUGAUGAGAUGUAGCCGAGACAGUUAAGAUCUAAGCCGUCGUGUAUGGAGGAGAAGCAACAGAUCCGCUCUCGGAAGUUUUGGCACGUGCUUUGCAUGAGCACAGCUCUACUUUUCCUCUAAUUCACCUCUUAUUUUUUCUGGUAUGUGUUUAAUUAUUUACUCAUGACAAUUCCGCUAAUAAAUUAAUUAGUUGCUUAAUAUUUAAUUCUCUUAAAAGAGAAUUAUAUGAGACCAUAUUUUACUGUAAUUAAUUAUAUAUAAGAGACGUAUUUUCUAAUUUAUAAAGAAGGAAAAUUAGCAUAAAAUGUAUUAAUUACAUUUCAGUCUCUUUAAUUAUUUAUUUUAGUUCAACUUUUUUUCCAAUUUUUUCUUGGUAUCAGAAGGAAAGGAAGAAAAUUGUUUAAUCUUACAUGGUUAGAGAUUAAAAUUUUCAUAUUUAACUUAAUAAAAUUUCAUAAGUAGUUAAAAUUAUUAUUUCAGUGUUGCAACUUGAAGGGGUUGCCUCCCUAAUUUCUCUCUACCUCCACUAUGUUGGGGGAGUUUUUUUAAGGUAAUAAGAAAUUUUUUAAAAUUUAAAAAUUUUAAACUUAUAUUUAAAAGAGAGUAAGAGUUUUUAAGUAAAAAUCGAUGUUUUUCUUGAAAAUUUUGAAAAAAAUCUUUAAAAAAUUUUAUUUUAUCAAAUUAACAACAAUAUUGUCAGUUUAACUGUGUCAAAACAUAUAUAUAAAAUAUUGGGUUUUAGAAUUGGAGGAACAUAUUUUAACUCUGAUUAAUAUCGGACCGUAAAAUUCUCUUUUUCCUUCUUUUCUUCGAAACUGUGACAAUAUUUUAAGUGUGUGAAUAAUGAUGGUAUUAACUAUUAAGAGGCAGAUUUUCCAACAGUCGGAAGAAAAAUAUAGUUUUCGGAGAAAUUUCUCAAAGACUUUGCCCAACCCACCAAAAGCUUAAUUAUAGGUAAAAUUCAAAAUUAUAAAAUGAUAGAAGAUGACUAAUGUUAAAAAUAAUUUAUUCUUUUUAAAAAAUAAUUUUCUUUUAAAUAAUUUAAGUUUUUUUAAUAGAAAAUAUUUUUAAUUAAUUAAAUUUUUAAAUAUAAAAUAUAAAAAGUAUCUUUUUAUAAAAUAUUUUCAGUGAAAUAAAUAUAAAUUUAAUUAAUUGAUUUUUAAUAUUUAAUAAAUAUUUUAAUAUAUUUUUUAAAAUUGAAAACUCAAAUAAUAAUUUUUUUUACGAUGUAAAUUAAAUAAUAAAUUUUUACUUUUAUUUUAAAAAUUUCAAAGAGUGAGAAAUUGUAUAUUCAAUUAUUUUUUAUACUACGAGUUUUCUUAGUUAUUGUACCACUAGUUUAGCUUAUCAUAAUAGAAAAAAUUAUUUUUUAAUUCUUAAAAUUUAACGUAAUUAAUACUUAUAUUCCUCUAUUUUGAUGACGUAAUACUUAAGUCCUUCACUUUCUCUCCCAUCUAAAUUCAUAGUCCUUCUGUCCAUUUAAACCGUUUAGUUAAAGAUUCAAAGGUGAGAGAUAAUUUUUUUCAAAAAUACCCUUAAAAUUUCUAUUUUUCUUCUCUUUCAUAUCUUCUCCUUUUUUUUUUAUCAAUUGUUAAUUCUCCUCUCUUUUUUUUUCUCUCUCUCUCUUUUUCAUCUUUCUUGUCCCUUAUAUUUUCUCUAUUCUCUUUUAACAUUGUUGAUUUUUCUUUUUUUUUUUCUCAUUUUCAUUUUUUUUCUGCCUUAUAAUUUCUCUAUUUUUUUUUAAUAUUGUUGAUUUUUCUCUUUUUAUCUUUGUUCUCCCUCCAAUUUUCUCUUCUUUCUUUUAACAUUGUUGAUUUUUCUUUUUUUUUUUUCUUUCUCUUUUCCAUCUUUCUUCUCCCUUAAACAUUAUUUGAGAGUUGCAGAAAUGGUAGGAGUUGUGGCGAAGAAGGUUUGGAUUUUGUGAUUUUGAAAUAGCGGAAUUUUUAUUGAGGUCAAUUUUGUCAAUUCAAGUGUCCCAAAUGGCUAUUUUGGACGGAAAAAUUAUGAAUUUGGACAGAAGAGAAAGUGAGGAAUUUAAGUGUUGGAUCGCCAAAAUAGAAGGAUAGAAGUGUUAAUUACUUUAAAUAUCAGGAACUAAAAAAUAAAAUUUUCUAAUUAUAAUUUUCUCUACACGUCAUCAUAAUAAUUAUUUUAAUUGUUAUCUAAUUUAGCCUCCAUGCCUCUAUUUUUUUGAUAUUUUUUAUAUAAAUAUAUUUUUUUAAAAAUAAAAUAUAUUAACAAAUUUAUAUAUAAAAAUAUUAAUAAAAUUUAUAUAUAAAAAAAGUAAAUAUUAAUAAAAAAAUUUCGUGAAAUAAAUUGAGUUUGAAAUUUAUAGAACCUUUUAAUUACUUGAUUUAAGAAAAUUUUAGUCCUAAGAAGAACUAACAAACCUUGAAAAAUUUAGAAAUAAGUUUUAAAUACUUUUCUAUACACAUAGGCUUCAAUUUAUAUAUUAAUUAAUAAUAUAAUUUUAUAAAGUAAAGUAAUAUCUUAUUUACAUAUGAAAAUGUUUAAAAAUUAUAUAAUGAUAAUAUUAAAAAAAAGCAUAUAACCUUAACUUUUAACUAAUUAUUACUUUUAAAAAUCAUUCUUUUUUUUUUUUAAUUUACUAGAAAAAAUUUUCAGAAACUGCUUUAGUUCACAAAGACACUAUUGCUAUUAACUAUGAUUUGUUUCAUGCCCUGAAAACUAACACACAUAAAAGAAAAUAAAUUUAUAUAUUCAAAUAAAAUUUUGACUAUAAUUAAUAAUUAAUUUUUAAAAUUAAAUUAAAUUAAAAAUAUUGCUUAUAAUGGAUAAAUGGUAAAAAAAAAAUGUAGCUAUUUUUAUAUAUUUUGCCAAUAAAUUAUGAUAUUGGUAAUUAGUUCAUAGGCUAAGUAAACCUUUAUUUCUAUUUAUAUUUCUUAUUUUAUAUUUUCUCCAUUAUUUUAUUUCUUUUAUGCAAGUGGGAUUUUUUUUUCUCUUUUUUUUUUUUAAGUCUUUCUUAAAGUUGAAGAAUUUCUGUAAAUUUUUCUUUAUUUCGUGUCCUGAAAGCUCUAUGAGUCGAUGUUUAAUUAUUUUAUGCGACAAAAUCCAUCUCUAACUAAUUAUCUUGCAUUAUUAAACCAUCAAGCAAUCAGGAGGAAAUUUCGGUCAAUGAAAAAUCUAGAUGUUUGCUUUACCUUUAUAAUACUAAAAAAUUAAAUUGAAUUUGAAAAUAUUAACAAUAAAUUAUUAUAAAAUCCUUAAAAUUUUAUUUAAUUAAUAAAAUAAUUCUUAAAUAUUUUAUUUAACUUAAAUUAAUUAUCAAAACUUUAAUUUUUUUAUGAUAGAGCUUAUUUUUGUUUAUUUAGUAUGUAAAGAAUUAAAUCAAAUUUAAAAAUAUUAAUAGUAAAUUAUAAUAGGGUUGGGAAGGAACUCGAAACAUAAAGUUUAUGAAUUCUUUGAUCAUAGCCACCUAUCAAUAACUGAUUGAUAAGCCUCAAAGAUACAUACAGCUGGACGAUAAAAUUUCUACGUUGAUAGAGGAUAAAAAGAUAAAUUAGAAUAAGAGAAGUCAGAUAAGCCAGAUUAUGAAAGUGAAAGGAAUUAUCCAGUGUCAAAUGGAUAAUCGAUGUAAGUUUAGAAAUUAUAUAUCAUUAAAUGACUCACGAACACACAUACUCAUAUGGAUCAGGAAAAAUAACAAAAAAAUCAAAUAGUCCGUCAAGCUUAACCUAAAAAAAGCAAGUAUGCGAGACAAAACAAAGUAUUACUAGUCUCGUGCAGAUCAUGGACACACUACAGAAAAGUGUAGGUAAUUAAAAGACGAGAUUGAAAUACUCAUUAGAGAUGAAACUCUGAAGAGGUUUGUUAGAAAAGACAGGGAGGAAAGGAGAUCAGAAUCUAAAGUAAAAACACUAGUCAAUCCUAAUUACAAUGAACUGAUAGGGGUUAUUCACGUAAUUGCAGGGGAUUAAGUGGCAACAAAGGAAU
RNAcentral lists this long non-coding RNA (82576 nucleotides) under Manihot esculenta (cassava). Its description in RNAcentral is "long non-coding RNA (MESC_LNC000049)". The stretch from base 3351 to 3700 matches the Rfam family "Bacterial large subunit ribosomal RNA", at positions 30 to 555 of the family's 2925-position model. The record is from RNAcentral. Lineage: Eukaryota; Viridiplantae; Streptophyta; Magnoliopsida; Malpighiales; Euphorbiaceae.